AACCGAGAAUCGACGACCAUCUCAAAUGGUGGUGGUAUUUUCUCGCCUCGAGUACUUGAAGAUCAACAGCUGCAGGCAAUUGACGAACCCUCCGAGUCAUUUUCCAUGCCUUAAAGAAUUGCAGAUUUCGCACGUGGAUAGUGGAGUACCUCUGGCAAUUAUAUGCGGGCGACUAGUCUCGCUUACGGCACUCGAUAUUGAAGGAAUCGAGGGAUUGACGUGUCUCCUCGAUUGGUUGUUCCGUAACAAUCUAAAUCUCUCGCAGGUGUAUGUGGGCUCCCAACUUAACGCAUCUCUAAACAGAGAGCCGUCGUGGGCGCCACUUUAAUCGGAGAACAACAGAACUGUUUUGUGUGCUGUGUUUGUAGUCUUAGAGAGAAAAGAGAGAAAACAAUGGAAGAACUUUUUUAUUCAAAAUAACGUGAGCACAAGUCUUAUUAUCACAGUUACUGGCAAUGAGCAAAGUACAUCUCUAUUUAAAGAGUAAGAGUUGUAUGUUAAGUUAAAUAGGGUAACUCCAAAGUAUCGUAUCAUGGUGUAACUCUAAUACAAUAUUUGCAUGCAAUCUAAGUGUUUAUAUCAGGAGCCCGGAGAUGGCCAUGUCGACUAGUCAGGUGUUUUCUAUCCUUGAACUUCGUGCUAAUUACAUUGAGGGCGAUGUAAAUUUUAAGUGUGGGGGUGGAUAAUUACUUGAUUUUAUGUGCUUUAAAUUUUUGAUUUGCAUGCCUUAGGAUUUUUUUUUAUUUAGUUGUUUUGGUUUAGUUAUUGCUUUCGAUAUAAAAAAAAAUUGAGAUAAAUGCUUCGAUGAAUCAUGAUGAUGAAAGAUGGCUGAUGUUUAAUGAUGAAAUUGUUUGCUUUAUCUUGAUUUUGAUCGAAUUUUGGUGAGCUUUUGAUUCAAACUGUCGUAGGAAGGAGUCAUUGUUAGGAAUCUCAAAUUAUGCGUUGCUUUGGUUGAAAGUUUUGUGUUUUAAAAUUUGAGUUAAUUGAUGCUAUUCGGUUUUAGAACUUGCCUUAGGAAUUUACAAAGUGAAAUAUUAAAUUGUUGAGCAAUUUGGGAAGUGAUUUGGGCCAUCUUUGAACCGUUUGAGCCUUUCAAGCCUACCUUUAAUUUUUUAUCAUUCGAACCUUGAUUGAGCCUUGGAGAAACGGUGUUCUUUCUUUUAGCCGAAAUAAAGUGGGUAGAUUACAUGGUGAUUUCUUGAUAAAUUUUCCCUUGGAGCUUGGUUGAAAAAAAAAAUUGUUACGUUUUUCUUCUUCGUAAAAAAAAAAAAAAAAAAAAGAAGAAGAAGAAAUAUCGGGGAAGAAAGGACUUGAGAAAGAUUUUAAAGUAAAAACUUGAACCAUCAUGUUAAGAGCAAAAGUGGAGACUUUUGAACUCUUAGCAAAUCGAGUUAAGCAAUAAGUCCUUUGAGGUGAAGAAAUGAGUCCAAAAGCUAAAUCUUAGCAAAAACACAUCUAGUCAAGAACGAAAGUUAAAAAUUCCGUCAAGUGCAACUCUUAGUGACUAAUUGUGGGAUGAAAGGAGAAGAGUAGCCACUUUUACCCAUAUUUUCUACCUUGUACCAAAAGCCCAACAUUUGAAAGCCAAAAAGUCUCAAUGAUCCCAAUAGCUCAAUUAUUUGAUACUAGCCGAGUAGAGAAAUUUGGUGAGUCUUUGGAGUUGAAAUAUUAUUAUGUAAGUAUAAAUUUUCUCCAUUUUUAAUUUACAAAUAUGGGAUACUUGAAGCGAUAGCAUGGUUUGUGGUUUUUGGCAAGGGUGAGUGAAUACAUAUCUUUGAAUUACGAGCUUGUAAAUUUUUUAGAAUUGUCAUGAUAAUUGCAGGUUCUGAAAACAUGAAAGUUGACCAUUAAUCUAUGUGAUGAGAGGCAUUUGUUGAAACCGUUGCUUUGAAAGUUGCUAGUUUUUGCUUGAGGACAAGCAAAAGUUCAAGUUUGGGGGUGUGUUGAGUAUAUAUUUUACACUCAAUGUAUACUUUCUUACGAGGAUUUUUGUAUACUUUUAUUGAUUUAAUGGUGCUUAAUGAGUGGUUUAUUGUAUUUUAGGUACAACUUGACGAUUUGGGAGUUCCAAGGAUGAAACGAGCCAAAAAAGGUCAAAAAUGGGCAAAAAUGGAAGAAGACAAUCGGAUGCUGAAAAUUGGCCCGGCGCAGCCAUGCCAUAUUUAGCCUAUUUUUGGCGCGGCCGCGCCAACUGCAGAAUUUGGGCAGAAUGUUUCGGCGAUUCUCGCGCGGCGGUGUGAGAAUUGCACUGAUUCUCUCGCGGCCGUGUGAAAACACGUUGGAGACAAUUUUGGACUUUUAAUCACACAAGGAAACCUAAAAUCUUCUACCAAGGUGGGACAUCUAUUAAAGGACAAACCAAGCACGAAUAGGGGACUUUGGAACACAAUCUUAGAGGAGGACGAGCGAGAGAACGGAGAAACGAAGACGAAGACCUGACAAAUCUUCAUCAUAAUUCUUCUUUCACCUAUCUUUUCUAAAUCUAUGACUUUUUUUCACUUUUAUUAUGUUUUUCGUAGAGAACAUGAGUAGCUAAGUUUUUAAUCUAGGAUUUUGUUGGAACCCUAUUUGGGGAUGGUGAACCCGUUUUCUUGAGAUUAUGCAAUUAUGAUUCUAUGAUUAUUUUUUCUACUUGUUAUGAUUGUUAGUGCAUGAACUUGAUCAAUUUCUGUGCUUUAUCUGUGAUUAUUGGGAUUGACUCGACAGAGCUAUUUUGAUAAUUAGACGGUAAGUAAAAGAACCUUCGAGUAGUUUUCACCGUAUUAGUGUGUCAAUUGCAUUUGGUAUCGUAGACAUACAGAUAUUCACCUUAGGUAAUCAUUGUUGAGACUUAUGCUUUAAUGCUUUAUUCAUGAUCGGAUUGCAUAGACAUAAAGUAAUUUGGUUUUGGAUAAUAGAAUUACAAUACACGCAACAGCGGGUUAUAAUUAAUAUAGUGUCUCAGGUUAAUUAUCAUGAAUCAUAUAUUUCAUAAUUGAGGGGUUUUGGGUGAGCAAUUCUUGCAUAGGGGAAGAUAAAAUCCUAGGUCCGUUUUUAUUGAUAUUUUCUCGUGUUUAUUUGCUUUCAUAAUUAGUUUAAUUAUUUAGUUGAUUAAAUUUGACAACUUUGCGUAGGCUGGAUAAAAAUCAUAAUUGUUAGAAUUUGGUACUUAGGAUUAGAUAAUUUGAGUAUUCCCUGUGGGAUCGACAUCCGACUCUCACGAGUCCACUUUUACUACUUGUUUGCGAUACGUGCACUUGCGUGUUAGAAAAGAGAGAAAACAAUGGAAGAACUUUUUUAUUCUAAAUAACGUGAGCACAAGUCUUAUUAUCACAGUUACUGGGAAUGAGCAAAGUACAUCUCUAUUUAAAGAGUAAGAGUUGUAUGUUAAGUUAAAUAGGAUAGCUCCAAAGUAUCGUAUCAUGGUGUAACUCUAAUACAAUAUUUGCAUGCAAUCUAAGUGUUUAUAUCUAAUUAAACUACCACUUUGUGUUUAAAGUCAUUGUCGUAGAACUUCUUAUCUCUUGGGAUUUGCAUGGUUUGUGGGACUAUCCUUAUCUCUCCAAUUAUAUUAAAAAACUUCCUUAUCACUCCUUAGAGUCCCACAAACCAUGGUCUACGGAGGAGCUGUGCUAAUAGUCUUAGCUGAUGAAGCGCCAUUCGAACCGAACAAAUGGCAUAACGAUACGGCCGAAUGUUUGUGAUGAUGAAUUGAUGUUCGUUUUAUUGUCUUUAAUUUUUGCCUACUAAAUUUCUUGUUAUGUUUUUCGAAAAAGAUCCAACCUUCCUCUUCCAAAUCCCCAUAAUUCAAUCAGCACAAGGCCAAAAAAAUUAGGGGUGUGCGCGGGUCAUAAACCUGUGGGUUCCAGCAAAACCCACUCUCGUCACGUCAACCAACAGUUCUUGAUUUUAAGAACCAAACUUGUGGUUUUUCUUCAGAUUCGGGUCCAUGACGGGUUUAUAGUAGGACCCAAUCUUUCGAACCGGCCCAUGACCAUGUCUAAAACCCACUCCCCCAACCUAAAACCAAACACUGAAAUCGAACACCUUAAAUAAAAGCUAUGAAUAAAAAUAAAAGAGGAGAACUAUGAUGAAGAUUCGUCAAGUCUUCGUCUUCGUUGCUCCGUUCCUAAAUUGCGUGUAGAAAGAUAAAAGAUAAAAACUAAAGGUAAAAGAUUAAAGAUUUUUAAAGAUUCCAAGAUGUCUCUAAUUGUGUGCUUUUGGCCUUUAAAUAGGGUGCAAAAAUAUAAUAGGGCGGGUUUCCUUGUGUAAUUAAACUUCCUUCACUGCGCCACCUCGACCAUCCGGACGGCCGUUUGAGAUUUACGCCUGAAAUCCGCACGGCCGCGCGGUCUUCAAUUCUUCAGAAAUCUGAUUUUUUUCACUUUUGGCCCACUUUUUCUCCAAAUUUGCAGUUUUUACCCACACCCACAUUGGUGUGUGUAGAUCAACAGUAAAAAAUCACCCGGUGUAACCUUCACCGGGUGUAGCAUAGAAAUAACCACCUUCAGACAUAUCCAAAUCUACUCUGCUCGCGCCACCUGGCAAUUCAAAUCCGAAAUUUAAAACAACAUUCGCAAGAACAAGCUCCACAAUUCCCAUGGCGAACGCACCCCCAGGGCACCCCCUUCGCCCCGUUCAAACGGAAUUAACUCAAGCGUAACGUUCAAAACGCGUUAAGUUUAUGGGGCUAAAGUCAUUUAACCCUUUUAGUUUUGCAUUUUGUAGUUUCAAAAGGAUUAAUGAAUAUAAAAAAAUAAUUUGACAUUUGGCAUCCUAAAAAGAUACCAAUAAAAAUAUCAAAUUACCUUCAUUCUUUAAAAAAAUAUUCGGGGUGCAUUACGCAUGAUUCAUUGUGCUUCGAGGAUGCAAACUGCUAUUAAAAAUUUUUCGAGGGUACAAAGUGCAUAAAGGCUAUAUUUCAAUGGUGGAAAGUGUAAUUAAGCCAUAAUUUUAUUGGACCUCUCAAGAUUGAAUUCUUAAGUGUAUUAAUUUUUUUAUGUACUUUCAUCCCUUGAGCUAUUAAUUUCAAAUAUAUAUACAGAUAAACCAGGGUUUUAAAAUCGGUCGAGGUGACCGAUUAAUCGGUCUCCGAGGCGGAGGCGGUCUAUAACCUUUACGAUUUUAGUGUAAUGGUUUGAAAAUCGGUUUUUGACUGCGAGGUGGUUUUAGGCGGUCUAAGGCAGGUCAAAUUUUGGUGGUAAAAAAUCGGUCAAAAAUCGUUUUUUUUUUUAAUAAAUAAAAAAAGUUGGGCUUUUAAUAAAUAAUGAGUUUAUGAUUUGUUUUAUUUUGUUAAUGUUAAUUUUUAUUUUUAAAGGACCUAAUGAUAUAUGCUUGAAUGUUCAAUUAUAACUUUGGAUGCACAAGAUUUUCGUUUUGUUUUUAUUUUGUAAGAAUUUUUAUUAUAUUAUGAUCUUAUUAUUCUUAAAAUUUUAUUACGUGAUUAUGAUAUAUAAAUGAUGUGGAUAAAAUCAUGUUUAAAUAUAUUUUUUUAUCUAUUUUGAGUAUUUACAAAAAAUAUCAAAAAUUAUAUUACAUUAAAUUUAAAAAACCGAUUGAUUGCGGAUUAAUUACCGCUGCACCUAUUAAUCGUGAGGCGGUGCCUCACUGACUCGGGUCCGAUCCCCGUCUCAUACAACCUUGAGAUAAACACCCAAAUUUUUGACUAUUUCACAAAUUUUGAUUUAAGAGGGGAGGCCUCUGUAAUUUCAAUAAGUAAGAGGGUGUUAUUCCAAUUUUAUAGUAUGAAAACAAUCUCAAUAGAAAAUGAUAGACUGAUUUUGUGUGUGUGUGUGUGUACUGUAUUCAUUCUAUCUCAAUUCUCAAUACUCAUCCAAAGUGUGUGAUAUUAAUUCGUUGCGGACAAUAUAUCAUCAACUUGAUAAUCAUACAGCUGUCACGAAAAUAAAUUCAGCAAAAAACAAACGAAAGAAAAUGAGAAUGACAUGUAAAUGAACAACAACCAUUUUUUAAAUUAACUGAGAUUAUUAAUUUAUUAAAUAUUAAUUGAAUUUCCAAUUUUGACAAAACUAUUAUGAUUGAUAGAGAAAAGUAAUUCCACGAAUCAUGUAAUGAAUAUUAAAUACAUGGAGAAAUUACUAUUUCUCCAUUUUUCUUUCAUUCAAUUUAAAAUUUAAAAAAAAAAAAAAAAAAAAAAAAAAAAACGAAUUUUUCUAUAUUACUAAUGGUAUGGUUAGUCAUUUACCAUGGUUGGCAACAAGACCAUGGUUGGAAACAAGGGAAGGAAAAAAGAAUUUCAGAAACUUCUCACCAUUUGCAAUGUGCUAAACAACUCUCUCUCUCUCUCUCUCUCUCUCUCUCUCUCUCUCUCUCUCUCUCUCUCUCUAAAAAAUAACUUUCUCAAAGAAAACAAUGGCGGCAGAAGCUGCGGGUGGAGCUGUCGUUCAAUUUGCACGUAAGUGCAUGCAUCGUACAAGUAAUAAAGUGGACAAUUAAGUCCGGAUAUCGAUCCCACAGAGAAUAUUUAAUUAUUUAAUCCUAUACGAUAAAUCCUAACAAUUAUUAUCAAGUUCACCCUACACUGUCGAAUUUGGAGAGAAUUAACUAAAUUAAACUAAAUUAAAUUAAGCAAAUUAAAAAGACAAUAGCAAAAAUAAUUUAAAAUGAAGAUUUAAUCAAAGUAAGCAGGCCUAGGAUUUUAUUCUUCCCCCUAUGUGAUUAUUACUCCCCCAAUUCCUUCAAUUAUGCAAGUAAUUAACCAGGAUUAUUAACCUGAGAUGCUAAAUUAAUCAUAACCCGCUUCCGCGUGUAUUAGGGGUGGCAAACGAGCCGAGCCGGCUCGCGAACUCGACGAGCCGGCUCGAAAAAAGCUCGAACUAGAGCUCGGGUUUUUCGAGCUCGAGCUCGAGCCCAAAAUUAGUUGUUCGGCAGCUCGCGAGCCGGCUCGCGAGCUGCCUUCUUUCUUUUUUUUUUUCUUUUUUUCUUUUUACACACACACACACAUAUAUAUAUAUAUAUAUAUAUAUAUAUAUAUAUAUAUAUAUAUAUAUAUAUAUAUUAUUCUUAUAUUAUUAUUAUUAUUAUUAUUAUUAUUAACUAAAUAGUAAAUAGUCUAUAAUAAUAAAUAUAUCUAGUAUUUAAAUAGAAACAAAUCUAUAUUACUUAAAUAAUUCAUAAUAAUAUAAAAUAUUAUAAUAAUAAUAAUAAUAAUAAUAAUAAUAAUAAUAAUAAUAAUAAUAAUAAUAAUAAAAAUAAUAAUAAUAAUAAUAAUAAUAAUAAUAAUACUCCUAAAAGGAAUAAUAAUAAUAUGGCAAUAAUAANNNNNNNNNNNNNNNNNNNNNNNNNNNNNNNNNNNNNNNNNNNNNNNNNNNNNNNNNNNNNNNNNNNNNNNNNNNNNNNNNNNNNNNNNNNNNNNNNNNNNNNNNNNUGAACAGCUACUAUAAAAAAUAAAAUGAUUUUAAUAAAAAAAUUAAAUAAUAAUAAAAAAAAUAUAAAAAAAAAAUUUAAAUAAGCUCGAGCUCGAGCCAAAAAAAAUUGGCUCGAUGAGCUCGAGCUCGGCAACAUGGACUCGAGCUCGAGCUCGAGCUGGCCAAAAGAGCCGAGCUCGGCUCGAGCUCGGGUCGUUCCCACCCCUAGCGUGUAUUACGAUUCUAAUACUCUAGAUUCAAUUACUGUAUUCCUACGCAAUUAAUUCUAAAACACAACAUUAAGCACAAAUCUCAAUAAUGGCUACCUAAGAGAUUAACUAUAUUCCUAUGUUAAUACCACAAAGGCUCUUCUACCACAGUUCUAAUUAUUAACCCGAUCUUCCGAUUCAUGCGAUUAACAAUAACAUAAAAGCACAUAAGGUGAUCAAAUUCAUACACUUAAUAAAACAAGUAGAAGAAACAAUCCGGAAUUAAAACUUGCAUAAAAUCAUAGAAAAUGAUUCAUAAAUCCCACAUAGGGUUCCAAAUAAAAUCCUAGAAAUAAGAAAAUUAGCUACUCAUGAUUAAAGUAAAAACGCAAAUAAAAUAAAUCAUAAACGAUAAAUCUUUGCUUGGAGUCUUCGAAUUCUUCGUCUUCGUUAUUGCUUUGUUGCUCUUGAAAUUGCGUAAAAGAUGGAUCCCCAAUUGUGUGCUUGGCUUGGUCUUAUAUAUGGUGGAAAACUUGGAGAAGAAGGCAGUUUCCUUGUGCAAUUAAAAUCCCUUUACCGCGCCUCUUCGUGAUCUCGGACGGCCGUCCCAAAUUUUGAACUAAAACUCGGACGACCGUCUGGGCUUUAAAUCUUCAGAUUUUUAACUUUUUCACUUUUGGCCCAUAUUUUCUCCAAAAUUGCAGUUUUUACCCCAUACUUUUCCAAUUCUUCAAUUUGUACCUAAAAUACAAUAAAUCAACUUUUUAAACACCAAUUAUCGUUAAAACACACCAAAAACUCCAAUUAAAAGGUACGUUUAAGUGUAAAAACAUACACUUAACAGAAGCUGAUAUAUCAGUUUCUGGGGAGCAGAUCAACCUCUAUCGAGAGUUCAAGAAAGACUUUGAUACAAACCCCGUAGAACUUGUUACGUGACCCAAUACCUUACGCGGAAGCAAGAUCCAAAACAUCCAAAAACAAAGAUUCAAAAGGGUGGAACCGCGACCCGUUGCCUAUAAAGAGACAAGAACCUUGGUAUGUGAAUACGGCACAAUCGAUUGUGAAAGAUCGAUUGAUAAGUCGGAGUGAACAAAUGGAAUCCUCCGAUGUGUUCAUAGAGUUCUUAAAGAACCAAAGAGAAUAAUCUCAUAAUUGUAUUCAAAAUUCUUCCAAUAAAAUGAGCCAAAUUGGCAACCUAUUUAUAAGGUCUAAAAACACACAUUUUUUACAAGGAAAAUGACUCCUACCUAAACUAUAAUAUGGAAAUAAAUAAAUAAGCAAAUCCUAACCAUAAAAGACUCUAAAAUAAUAAAAACAUGAGGUUUUUGUGCAUAAGUCCCCAACCAAACAUCUUUAUUAUUUUAGGUUUAGGGGCUAUAUCUCUUUCACCAAUAAGCCUAUCCCUUUAAUAUUUAUUAUAAAUAAAGGAAACAUUCUUGUAUAUGCCAAUAUUACCCCCAACCCUUUAUACCAAAUUCUUAAUUGUAACCCCAAUUUAAUCAAUUUUGUCCACAAAAAUCCAACUUUGACUUCUUUUUUUUCAAAAAAAAAAAGAUUUCAAAAAAAAAAAAUUUUGCCGCCGGUCUCCGGCGUUGACUUUUCGAUUUUUUUUUUCUUCCGGAUUUUUUCGCCGGUCUCCGGCGUUGACUUUUUUUUUUUUGUCUUCCAGAUUUUUUCGCCAGUUUCCGGCGUUGACAUUUUUUAGUGUUUUUUUAAGUUUUUUUUUUUUUUUUGCUUGUUUUUUUUUUACGUCCGCCACUAAACGUUGACCGUAAUUGUACUGUCACUGACAGUAAAUUAACGUAAUUAUACUGUCAAUGACAGUUAAUUAACGUAAUUGUACUGCCGUUGACAAUACAUUUAUGUAAUUGUUCUGCCGUUGACAGUAAAUUAACGUAAUAUUAUUAUUUUUUAUUUUUUGUUAUUCUUUUUAUUUUGUUUGAUUUGUUGACAAGUCAACGUAAUUAUAUUACUGUCGUUGACAGUAAAAUAACUGUAAACACAAUAAUAUUACUGUCAACAACAUCAUUAUUAUUAUUUUUAUGGGUUUUUUAUUUUGUUUGAGUUAUUCACGGAGUAACGUAAUAAUAUUACUGUCUAUUAUUGUAAUAUUACUGUAAACACAAUAAUAUUACUGUGGUUGACGGUAAUAUUACUGUUGUUAUAGUAAUAUUGCUGUCAACCACAUCAAUAUUAUUAUUUUGUUUGGAUCUUUUGGUUUGUUUGAGUUAUUCACGGAGUAACGUAAUAAUAUUACUGUCUAUUAUUGUAAUAUUACUGUUGUUAUAGUAAUAUUACUGUCACUCACAGUAAUAUUGAUUCUUUUGGCUUUUUAGUAUGUUCACAUUUGUUAAACGGUCAACAUAGUAAUAUUACACUUUACACAAUAAUAAUGAGUUUUGUUGUGUUAAUAUUACUGUGCUAGAGAUUAAUAUAGCAAUAUUACUGUGUUAAACUGUAGUUUAGUUAAUUUUACUGUGUUAAACUGUAGUUUAGUUAAUUUUACUGUGUUUAAACAGUAAUAUAGUUAAUAUUACUGUCAAUCACAGCAAUAUUGUUGUUUAAACGAAAAAAAAAAGUUACAGAAAAAAGAAAAAAAAAAUUGAAAAGUCAACGUCGGAAUCCGGCGGCAAAUUUUUUUUAAAAAAAAAAAAAAAAGUUUUGGGCCAAAAUUGAAUAAUUUGUGAAAUUUGGGGUCAAAUUGAGGUUAAAUUAAGUUAAGGAUAAAAUUGGAGCAUAUGAAAGUAUGAGGGGCUAUUUUUUAGUCUUUUACAAAAAUCUGGACCAUGUUUAUUGGUAAAGGAGUUUUUUGUCUAGAUCUCUUUACGAAUAAGUACCCAUUGAUGGGCUUAUUUGUAAUGACCCCUAAAAACAUAAUAAAACCUAAAUUAAAAACGUGUAUAAUUAAAUUAAAUAACUUGAUCUUCAAAUCGGCUUCUCGAUCACCCUUCUAAUCUCGCGUAGAUAAUUGGCUGUGCACGUGCAUGAACUUCAUGCUCACUUACGACACUGUUACGUUAGAGUAGGUAACCAACAAGCCAACUAAUGGUGGUGGUCUUUCCAUAUUUACUUGUAAACAAUCUAUUUUCGUUAUUAAUGAAAUUCUAUUUUUGGCAAGCUAUAUCUAUUGUCCCAUUUAUUAUGCAUAGAUAUAGACCUUAUAGUUAUUAUUAAAUUACUAUGAAUUGAUCUAGGAGAAUCAUGAGAUAAUUCAUUUAGUAAGAUAACUAUUAAACAAGUUCCUAGUCGAUGGGUUACGCCAAUAAUUAGAAUAGUGGCAUUUCCCGUUUGAGACUAGCACUUAAUGUAUGUGAGUUGAGUCUCAUCAGCUACAAUGUAGUGACAUUAGCAUACAUAAGUGGGUGCUCAUAGUCGAUGAGUUUACUGAACUCCCUCGUCCUAGCUAGAAUCUCUAAGUGGUUCCCAUUAAUCGAGUAGAGAUUCUAUGAUUAUAGUUAUACACCAUUAGUUCUUAGACCUAAUACAUCACUGCGACUUCAUUAGAGGACCAGUUGUGUUGUGACCUGUCCCUGAGUCUCCUCGAAGACCGCUCCAAGGGCUAACAUUCGCACAGUCCGAAAUCUAGUGGGAGUCUGUGCAUUGUAGUUAGGGAUUUGACCGCUUGCUUAAUUGCAUGGAUGUCCUAUGUGUUCUUCAAGUAUAUUGUCCAAGGAAUCUGCGGCCGAAGUAGAAAGUGUAGUGAUUAGAGAAAUGAGUUUCUCUAAGUCAAACACGAAUGGACUUUAUACCUUUAGAACGAUCCCAUAGUUAUCGAAUAAUAUUAGAGGUAUCGGUGAACCAAUGCCUCUAGUUCGAUCGGGAUAUAUGUUUAGUCAAAGGGAUCGUACUGUACGCUAACUAUAAGUUAAGGUUCUUGCAGGCACUUCAUUUGUAUCUAGGGAAUCAUGACACGUAGUUGCUAGGCGUCUAUCAUGAUUCAUUGAGCAUUAACUGAUAUGAUCGGCGAUGUAGAUUAAAAUAUGUUUUAAAAUCGGGACAUUUGGGACGAGUCCGUAAUUGAGUAAAGAGUUAUUCAAGUCACAAAUAGUUGUGGGCCCACGGCUAGCUUACACCUGAACCAUUGAUGGUCACACUUGUUGUGGAGAGGAAUCCUUAAUAAGGUGAACUAAGAUUAAUUUGUUAAUCUUAGAUAAAUUGAAAUUCAGUAUGAUUGAAUUAAAAUUCGUAAUAGUCGAUUAUGAAUUGAAGAAAAAGAGAAAGGCAAUGUUAUAGAUUUCAAGUGAACUUUCUAAAUUGGGAUUUUCCUAAUUUAGCGGGUACCACUGAAAUAGAGGUUUCCGGAAAUGAAAAUAUACGAUAUGCAAUAUGGUACUUGAAUUGACGAGAAAAUUAUUAUGUCACAAAAAUAUAAUUGUUAUAAUUUUCGGAAUAACCAUUUGAGAGAUAUUAGGAAUCUAAGAAAGCGUUCUAAAAGUAUUCUUAAUUGUAUGGGUCUCUCAUUCCUAGAUAAGGAUUGAGGUAUUUAAUUCUAAUUGGGAAUUAGAAUUAUACAUGGAGUAGGAUUUAUAAAUCGCUAUAUAUAGAGGUGGUGGGGUAGAGAUGACAACAAGACACAACUUUUCUCCACCCACAAAACACACGUCCUAUCUUAUGUGUCAAUCUUCUUUUUUCUUUUCCUUUAGCAAUUUCCUUUUUCUAUUUAAUUUAUGUUUAACUAUAUAAAUCGUAAACUUACUUAUAUUGUUUAUCAUAUACUGAGAAUAAUAAUUAGAGACAAAAAUAAAUUAAUAAUGGAUAUUCAUUGAAAUGAUUAUAUAUAAAGUUUAAAUGGAAACUAUAUUUUUGACAAGUAGUAGUACCUACAUUUGACACAUGUUUUAUGUAUCUUCUUUUAAUUUAUUUCAAAUAAUAAUAAUUUUAUUCAACUAACAGUAAACAAAUAAUCACUAAUUUCAUUAUGCGGCAAAAUUACUAGAUUUAAACGUUUAAUUUAUAAUUAUGUCAACAUUACUUAGGUAUGAGUAUUAGUAUUGGUAUCAGUAUCAGUAUCAGUAUCAGUAUCAGUAUCAGUAUCAGUAUCAAUAUUAAUAUUAGUAUUAGUAUUAGUAUUAGUAUUAGUAUUAGUAUUAGUAUUAGUAUUAGUAUUAGUAUUAGUAUUAGUAUUAGUAUUAGUAUUAGUAUUAGUAUUAGUAUUAGUAUUAAUAUUAGUAUUAGUAUUAGUAUUCGUAUUAGUAUUAGUAUUAGUAUCCAUAUCAAUAGCAAUAUUAGUAUUAGUAUUAGUAUUAAUAACAGUAUCACUAUCACUAUGAGUAUGAGUAUGAGUAUGAAUAUGAGUAUGAGUAUAGGUAUGAGUAUGAAUAUGAGUAUGGGUAUGAGUAUAAGUAUGGGUAUAAAUAUCAGUAUCAGUUUCCGUAUAAGUAUCAAUAUCAGUAUAAGUAUCAAUAUAAUAUCAGUAUCAAUAGCAUUAAUAGUAUCAAUAUCAAUAUCAUUAUCAGUGUUAGUAUUAGUAUCAGUAUUAGUAUCAGUAUUAGUAUUAGUAUUAGUAUUAGUAUUAGUAUUAGUAUUAGUAUUAGUAUUAGUAUUAGUAUUAGUAUUAGUAUUAGUAUUAGUAUUAGUAUUAGUAUUAGUAUUAGUAUUAGUAUUAGUAUUAGUAUUAGUAUUAGUAUUAGUAUUAGUAUUAGCAUUAGUAAUAACAGUAUCAGUAUUAGUAUUAGUAUUAGUAUUAUUAUUAGUAUUAGUAUUAGUAUUAAUAUCCAUAUUAAUAUUAGUAUUAGUAUUAGUAUUAGUUUUAGUAUUAGUAUUAGUAUUAGUAUUAGUAUUAGUAUUAGUAUUAGUAUUAGUAUUAGUAUUAGUAUUAGUAUUAGUAUUAGUAUUAGUAUUAGUAUUAGUAUUAGUAUUAGUAUUGGUAUUAGUAUUAGUGUUCGUAUUAGUAUUGGCGUAUUAGUUUAAACAUUAAAUAUUCGUAUUAUAAUUGGCGUAUUAUUACUAAUAGUUGUGUUGAUAUUAAUAUUAGUAUUAGACUAUUAGUAUUAAUCAUCAUAUUAAUAUUAGGAUUAGUAUUAAUAUUAGUAUUAUUAGUAUUAGUAUUAGUAUUAGUAUUAGUAUUAGUAUCAGUAUCAGUAUCAGUAUCAGUAUUAGUAUCAGUAUCAGUAUUAGUGUUACUAUCAGUAUCAUUAUCGGUAUUAGUAUCAUUAUCAAUAACAACACCAGUAUGAGUAUGAGUAUGAAUAUGAGUAUGAGUAUGAGUAUGAAUAUGAAUAUCAGUAUCAGUAUAUGUAUAAGUAUUGGUAUGAAUAUUAAUAUUGCUAUUACUAUUGGUAUUAGUAUUACUAUUAGUAUUAAUAAUAGUAUUACUAUGAGUAUUAGUAUCAGUAUCGGUAUCGGUAUCAGCAUCAAUAUGUGUAUCAGUAUGUGUAUUAAUAUUAGUUUCAAUAUCAAUAUCAGUAGUAGUAUCUAUAUCAAUAUCAUUAUUAUUAUCAUUAUUAGUAUUAACUAGCAUUUUUUCCCCGUGCGAUGCACGGGAUAUUAUUUCAAGAGUAAAAAAAAUCUAUGUAAUACAUAAUAAGAAAUAUAGUACACGAAGUAAAAUUUAAUAAUGUAGUACUAUUCAUAUUUUAUAUAAUACAAAAACUUGUUGGGGCUAAAUACCAACACGCAAGUGCACGUAUCGCAAACAAGUAGUAAAAGUGGACUCGUGAGAGUCGGAUGUCGAUCCCACGGGGAAUACUCAAACUAUCUAAUCCUAAGUACCAAAUUCUAACAACUAUGAUUUUUAUCCAGCCUACGCAAGUUUGUCAAAUUAAAUCAAUUAAACAAUUAAACUAAUUAAGAACGCAAAUAAUCACGAGAAAAUAUCAAUAUAAAAACGGACCUAGGAUUUCAUCUUCCCCCUAUGCAAGAAUUGCUCACCCAAAACCCCUCAAUUAUGAAAUAUAUAAUUCCAGAUUAUUAACCCAAGAUACUAAUUUACUCAUAACCCGCUGUCGCGUGUAUUAUGAGUCUAUUAUUCAUAAACGGUUCACUAUAUGUCUAUGCAAACAAAUUAUGAAUAAAGCAUUAACUAACAAGUCUCGUAAAUGGAUACCUAAGGUGAUAUAUGUAUGUCUACGACACCACAUGCAAUUGACACACUCAUCCGGUGAAAACUACUCGAAGGCUCUUAUACUUACCGUCUAAUUAUCAAAAUAGCUCUGUCGAGUCAAUCCCAAUAAUCACAGAUAAAGCACAUAAAUUGAUCAAGUUCAUGCACUAACAAUCAUAACAAGUAUAAGAAAUAAUCAUAAAACCAUAAUUGCAUAAUCUCAAGAAAACGGGUUCACCAUCCCCACAUAGGGUUCCAACAAAAUCCUAGAUUAAAAACUUAGCUACUCAUGUUCUCUACGAAAAACAUCAUAAAAACAUAAAAAGAAAUAGAUUAAGAAAAUAUAUAUGAAAGAAGAAUUGUGAUGAAGAUUUGUCAAUUCUUCGUCUUCGAUUCUUCGUUCUCUCGCUCCUCUCGCUCCAAGGUUGUGUCAAAAGUCCUCUAAUUCGUGCUUGGUUUGGGCUUAAAUAGAUGUCCCAACUUGUUAGAUGAUUUUAGGUUUCCUUGUGUGAUUAAAAGUCCAAAAUUGUCUCCAGCGUGUUUUGGCGCGGCCGCGCGAAAAUCAGUGCAAUUCUCACACAGCCGCGCGAGAAUCGCUGAAACCUUCUGCCCAAGUUCUGCAGUUGGCACGGCCGUCCCAGUUUUAAGUGUAAAUCUCGGGACGGCCGUCCCAUGCUAAUUUCUNNNNNNNNNNNNNNNNNNNNNNNNNNNNNNNNNNNNNNNNNNNNNNNNNNNNNNNNNNNNNNNNNNNNNNNNNNNNNNNNNNNNNNNNNNNNNNNNNNNNNNNNNNNNNNNNNNNNNNNNNNNNNNNNNNNNNNNNNNNNNNNNNNNNNNNNNNNNNNNNNNNNNNNNNNNNNNNNNNNNNNNNNNNNNNNNNNNNNNNNNNNNNNNNNNNNNNNNNNNNNNNNNNNNNNNNNNNNNNNNNNNNNNNNNNNNNNNNNNNNNNNNNNNNNNNNNNNNNNNNNNNNNNNNNNNNNNNNNNNNNNNNNNNNNNNNNNNNNNNNNNNNNNNNNNNNNNNNNNNNNNNNNNNNNNNNNNNNNNNNNNNNNNNNNNNNNNNNNNNNNNNNNNNNNNNNNNNNNNNNNNNNNNNNNNNNNNNNNNNNNNNNNNNNNNNNNNNNNNNNNNNNNNNNNNNNNNNNNNNNNNNNNNNNNNNNNNNNNNNNNNNNNNNNNNNNNNNNNNNNNNNNNNNNNNNNNNNNNNNNNNNNNNNNNNNNNNNNNNNNNNNNNNNNNNNNNNNNNNNNNNNNNNNNNNNNNNNNNNNNNNNNNNNNNNNNNNNNNNNNNNNNNNNNNNNNNNNNNNNNNNNNNNNNNNNNNNNNNNNNNNNNNNNNNNNNNNNNNNNNNNNNNNNNNNNNNNNNNNNNNNNNNNNNNNNNNNNNNNNNNNNNNNNNNNNNNNNNNNNNNNNNNNNNNNNNNNNNNNNNNNNNNNNNNNNNNNNNNNNNNNNNNNNNNNNNNNNNNNNNNNNNNNNNNNNNNNNNNNNNNNNNNNNNNNNNNNNNNNNNNNNNNNNNNNNNNNNNNNNNNNNNNNNNNNNNNNNNNNNNNNNNNNNNNNNNNNNNNNNNNNNNNNNNNNNNNNNNNNNNNNNNNNNNNNNNNNNNNNNNNNNNNNNNNNNNNNNNNNNNNNNNNNNNNNNNNNNNNNNNNNNNNNNNNNNNNNNNNNNNNNNNNNNNNNNNNNNNNNNNNNNNNNNNNNNNNNNNNNNNNNNNNNNNNNNNNNNNNNNNNNNNNNNNNNNNNNNNNNNNNNNNNNNNNNNNNNNNNNNNNNNNNNNNNNNNNNNNNNNNNNNNNNNNNNNNNNNNNNNNNNNNNNNNNNNNNNNNNNNNNNNNNNNNNNNNNNNNNNNNNNNNNNNNNNNNNNNNNNNNNNNNNNNNNNNNNNNNNNNNNNNNNNNNNNNNNNNNNNNNNNNNNNNNNNNNNNNNNNNNNNNNNNNNNNNNNNNNNNNNNNNNNNNNNNNNNNNNNNNNNNNNNNNNNNNNNNNNNNNNNNNNNNNNNNNNNNNNNNNNNNNNNNNNNNNNNNNNNNNNNNNNNNNNNNNNNNNNNNNNNNNNNNNNNNNNNNNNNNNNNNNNNNNNNNNNNNNNNNNNNNNNNNNNNNNNNNNNNNNNNNNNNNNNNNNNNNNNNNNNNNNNNNNNNNNNNNNNNNNNNNNNNNNNNNNNNNNNNNNNNNNNNNNNNNNNNNNNNNNNNNNNNNNNNNNNNNNNNNNNNNNNNNNNNNNNNNNNNNNNNNNNNNNNNNNNNNNNNNNNNNNNNNNNNNNNNNNNNNNNNNNNNNNNNNNNNNNNNNNNNNNNNNNNNNNNNNNNNNNNNNNNNNNNNNNNNNNNNNNNNNNNNNNNNNNNNNNNNNNNNNNNNNNNNNNNNNNNNNNNNNNNNNNNNNNNNNNNNNNNNNNNNNNNNNNNNNNNNNNNNNNNNNNNNNNNNNNNNNNNNNNNNNNNNNNNNNNNNNNNNNNNNNNNNNNNNNNNNNNNNNNNNNNNNNNNNNNNNNNNNNNNNNNNNNNNNNNNNNNNNNNNNNNNNNNNNNNNNNNNNNNNNNNNNNNNNNNNNNNNNNNNNNNNNNNNNNNNNNNNNNNNNNNNNNNNNNNNNNNNNNNNNNNNNNNNNNNNNNNNNNNNNNNNNNAAUUAUCGUUAAAUCACACCAAAAGCUCAAAUAAAAAUAUACGAUAAAGUGUAAAAAUAUACACUUAACAGUAUGAUAUUAGUAUUAGUAUCAGUAUCAGUAUUAGUAUCAAUAUCAGUAUAAGUAUCAGUAUCACUAUCAGUGUUAGUAUCAUUAUCAAUAACAACAUCAGUAUGAGUAUGAGUAUGAGUAUGAGUAUCAGUAUCAGUAUCAAUAUCAGUAUUAGUAUCAAUAUAUGUAUCAAUAUAUGUAUGAGUAUUGGUAUGAAUAUUAACAUUGGUAUUAGUAUUAGUAUUAGUAUUAAUAAUAGUAUUAGUAUCAGUAUCAAUAUCAGUAUCAAUAUGUGUAUGUGUAUCAGUAUGUGUAUUAAUAUUAGUAUCAAUAUUAAUAUCCGUAGCAGUAUCGGUAUCAGUAUCAAUAUCAAUAUCAGUAUUAUUAUCAUUAUUAUUAUUAUCAUAAUUAGUAUUAUUAUUAGUAUUCGAAGUCAUAUUAGUCUUGGCGUAUUAGCAUUAACAUUAGCAUUAGUCUUAAUAUUAGUAUUAGUAUUAGUAUUAGUAUUAGUAUUAGUAUUAGUAUUAGUAUUAGUAUUAGUAUUAGUAUUAGUAUUAGUAUUAGUAUUAGUAUUAGUAUUAGUAUUAGUAUUAGUAUUAGUAUUAGUAUUAGUAUUGGUAUUAGUAUUAGUGUUCGUAUCAGUAUUGGCGUAUUAGUUUAAACAUUAAAUAUCCAUAUUAUAAUUGGCGUAUUAUUACUAAUAGUUGUGUUGAUAUUAAUAUUAGUAUUAGACUAUUAGUAUUAAUCAUCAUAUUAAUAUUAGGAUUAUUAUUAAUAUUAGUAUUAUUAGUAUUAGUAUUAGUAUUAGUAUUAGUAUUAGUAUUAGUAUUAGUAUUAGUAUUAGUAUUAUAUUAGUAUUAGUAUUAGUAUCAGUAUCAGUAUCAGUAUCAGUAUUAGUAUCAGUAUCAGUAUUAGUGUUACUAUCAGUAUCAUUAUCGGUAUUAGUAUCAUUAUCAAUAACAACACCAGUAUGAGUAUGAGUAUGAGUAUGGGUAUGAGUAUGAGUAUGAGUAUGAGUAUGAAUAUAAAUAUCAGUAUCAGUAUAUGUAUAAGUAUUCGUAUGAAUAUUAAUAUUGGUAUUAGUAUUGGUAUUAGUAUUACUAUUAGUAUUAAUAAUAGUAUUACUAUGAGUAUUAGUAUCAGUAUCGGUAUCGGUAUCAGUAUCAAUAUGUGUAUAAGUAUGUGUAUUAAUAUUAGUAUCAAUAUUAAUAUCAGUAGUAGUAUCAAUAUCAAUAUCAUUAUUAUUAUCAUUAUUAUUAUCAUUAUUUGUAUUAACUAGCAUUUUUUCCCUGUGUGAUGCACGGGAUAUUAUUUCAAGAGUAAAAAAAAUCAAUUUAAUACAUAAUAAGAAAUAUAGUACACGAAGUAAAAUUUAAUAAUGUAGUACUAUUCAUAUUUUAUAUAACAUUAGUUCGUUUAAAUUUUACAUAUUAAGAUUUAUAAUCCAAAUAUAUAGAUUUAGAUUUAACAAAUCGAAUUUCUAUCUUUAUCUCUUAAGAUUUGAGAUAUAUUGAUGAAAAAUAAGAGAUUGAUAAUUGUUGAAAAUUAGUAGCGAAAAAAUAUUAAAAAUAAAUAAUUAAAGAAAUACCAUUAGGGUUUUUUAGGGUUACCCAACGUUUCUUUCUUUUAUAUAUAAGAUAAUAGUAUUAGUAUGAGUAUUAGUAUCCGUAUCGCUAUCGGUAUCAGUAUCAAUAUAAUGUGUAUGUGUAUGUGUAUAUGUAUCAGUAUGUGUAUUAAUAUUAGUAUCAAUAUUAAUGUCAAUAGCAGUAUCAAUAUCAAUAUCAGUAUUAUUAUCAUUAUUAUUAUCAUUAUUAGUAUUCGAAUUCAUAUUUGUCUUGGCGUAUUAGCAUUAACAUUAGCAUUAGUCUUAAUAUUAGUAUUAGUAUUAGUAUGAGUAUUAAUGUUCGUAUUAGUAUUGGUGUAUUAGUUUAAACAUUAAAUAUUGGUAUUAGAAUUGGCGUAUUAUUAUUAAUAGUAGUGUUGAUUUUUAUUUUUAUUAUUUUUUUUUUUUUGAGUAAAUUCAAGUCCAUUACAAGGGGAAGUAGGGGAGGGGGGGACUCGAAGCCUAGACCUUUACCCCAUUGGUAAAUGCUAGGUACCAACUCUCCUAAUGAGGGUUGGUUAAUAGUAGUGUUGAUAUUAAUAUUAGUAUUAGACUAUCAUUAUUAAUCAUCGUAUUAAUAGUAUGAUUAGUAUUAAUAUUAGUAUUAUUAGUGUUGGUUUUAGUAUUAAUAUUAGUAUUCGUAUUAGUACUAUCAAUGUUGAUUUUAGUAUUAGCAUUAGUAGUUGUUGUUAGUGUGAUAUUACUGUCAAUAUUAGGGUGGCAUAGGCAAUUGUACGCCGCAAGGUCUAGAGUUAAAAGUAGAUUUGAGAUAAAUAUAUUUAUCAACUCAGAAUCGGGCGAUAUAACUAACUUUAUGAGCAAUGUUGUGUGUACAAAAGAUUUUCAGCGAAUAUGAAGGUAAAUCACAAACAAAUGUAUAUUUUGAUUCAAUAAAACAUUUUUUGGGUAUUAUUUACAUGUAUGUCAACUGUUCAAAGUUUUCGUUCGGUUUAUUUUAUCCAAAAUAAUUUUAAAAAAAAAAAAUUUGAUCUUGUGCAUCGCACGGAUGAAUUACUAGUUAAAUUAAAUAACUUAAUCUUCAAAUCGGCUUCUCGGUCACCCUUAUAACCUCGCGUGGAUAAUUGGUUGUGCACGUACAUGAACUUCAUUAUCACUUAUGACACUGUUACACUUCGAAUCUCUCUCUGGUCAAAACAUGAAAGUUGUAGAAAUUCCAGUUGGCUUUCCAUAGCAAUUUGAAUCACGUAAAACUGCCACAGAGUUAGGCGAGAAUCUCGGAUGCAUGGAAUUCGACUUGUCCAACGCACUCUCCUCUUCCUUUUCUUCCAAUUCCAAACCAUGAACUCUACAAUGUUCUUAUUCAAGCCUUUAUUAUGCAUGGAUGACUUGAAUAGCCUCUUUAAACUCGUACGCUUUCGCUUCUUCCAAUUCUUCAACUUGGAGCUUGACAGGAUCGUAUCAGACUUGAAAAGGCUAAAAAGUUCAGUCUCUAUGAUUCAAAGUUUCUUGAACGAUGCGGAGGGGAAGCAAAUCACCGACGAGGCUGUCGAACGUUGGUUGCAUAAGCUUGAAGGUGUGGCUUUCGAUGCCGAUAAUGUCUUGGAUGAGCUCCACUAUCAACAUCUCUCCAAGGAAAUUCAUAACCAGGACAAAAUGAAGAAGAGGAAGAAGAAGUGUCAUUUUUUCUUCCCACAUUGCAUUGCCAAUACGCAUCGCCUAAAAAUGGCACGUAAAAUCAAGGAUAUCGUUCAAAACUUGGAAGAGAUCAACAAGGAGGCGACCGACUAUGGCCUUCAAAAGGCAGUGGUAGGUGCAUAUGCUCCGCUUACUGGAUCAUCUGUAGGCCUGGAAACUGAUUCAUUCAGUAUCGAUCCGAUUUUUCUUGGAAGAGAAGGUGACGUGUCUGAAAUAGUGAAGACGAUGACUACUCUUCCAAAUGAUCAAGUACUCUCUAUCAUCCCCAUUUUCGGGAUGGGAGGACUCGGAAAAACAAUGGUAGCUCGGAACGUGCUUGAUCAUGAAGCCAUAAAGGCUCAUUUUGCUAAGCGUUUUUGGGUGCAUGUCUCUCAAAACUUCGAUGCCAAGAUUCUUUUCAAUAUGAUUCUUACAUCGUUAACAGGAACAAACGCCAGACUUGGAGAUAAACAGGCAGUUCUGGAAGAGCUUCAAAAGAAGUUGGGAUCUCAAAGAUUUCUACUUGUUCUACUACGGGAAAUGGGGUGAUUUUAUCAAUUCGUUGAGAAAAAUUAGUUCUACUACGGGAAAUGGCAUUGUUGUUACUACGGGAAGUGAAAAUGUUGCUUCACUGGUAACAACACUCCCUACUAUGCACAAGCUAAAUAACUUGUCAGAAGAUGAGUGUUGGUCCAUAAUCAAAACAAAAUCCUUUGGAGAAUGUGAUAUUCCAUCAGAAUUUGAGAGAAUUGACGUAUCUAUUGCAAAAAUAUGCCAAGGUUUGCAUUGGCGGCCAAUGUGGUUGGGAGAUUGUUGCGCGGUAAGCCAAUUGAUGAGUGGCUGUCGACUGAUGAGAAAUGGCUCUCAGAUUUAAAAGAUGAAAAUCUAGUCAUCAAGAUUUUGAAACUGAGUUUUGAUCAUUUGUCGCCACCAUCACUCAAAAAGUGCUUUGCAUAUUGUUCGAUAUUUCUUAAAGGAUACGACUUGGAAAGGGAACGCUUGGUUGAGCUUUGGAUGCAGAAGGAUUCCUUGGAGGAAAUGAUGAUAUGGAGAUUGUUGGCAACAAAUUCUUUAAUCAACUUCUAGAGAACUCCUUGUUACAAGUUGUGGGGAGAAAAUACUAUUAUGGCGGUGCCGAUAUAACAUAUUAUAACAUGCACGAUCUUGUCCAGAUGUGUUUAAAAGACUAAAAUACCCCUCACAUUUUAAUAUGCUCCGAUUUCAUCAUUUAAUUCAAUUUAAUCUCAAUUUGACCCCAAAUUUCACAAAUUAUUCAAUUUUGACCCAAAACUCAAUUUUGAGUACAAUUUCGCCCGUCGCCACCGCUCUCCAGCGUUGAAUUUUUUCCCUAUUUUUUUCCGCCGGUCAACGCCGGUCGGCGUUGACUUUUUCAAUUUUUCGUUUUCCUUUUCUUCUUUCUGUCGCCGCUGACCAAUGGUCAACGCCAAUAUUGCUUCCAUGUAGUAUACACAUUGUUUUCUUCACCAUCUUUUUGCCUUGUUUAAACAACAAUAUUAAUGUGGUUGAGAGUCAUAUUAACUAUAUUACUGUUUGACACAGAUAUUAAAAAUAUUACAAUUUAACACAAUAAUAUUGUUAUUUUACUCUCUAGCAUAGUAAUAUUAACAAAACAAAAACCACUAUUAUUGUGUAAUAGAGUAAUAUUAAUAUGUUGACCGUUCAACAAAGGCAAACAUAAUAAAAAGUCAAAAUAAUUAAUAUUGAUGUGGUGGACAGUAAUAUUACUGUCAUCCACAUUAGUAACAACAGUAAUAUUACUGUAACAGCAGUAAUAUUACUGUCAAUCACAGUAAUAUUAUUGUGUUUACAGUAAUAUUACAAUAGUAGACAAUACUAUUAUUACAUUAACCGGUCAACAAAUCAAACAAAACAAAAACCCAAAAAAAAAAAUAUUGAUGUUGUUGACAUUAAUAUUAUUGUGUUUACAGUAAUUUUACCUUUCAACGAGAGUAAUAUAAUUACGUUGGCUUGUUAACAAAUCAAAUAAAAUAAUAAGAAAAAAAAAGCCAAAAAAAUAAUAAUAUUGUUGUAGUUGACAGUAAAUGUACUGUCAAUGACAGUACGUUUAUUGUCAGCGGCAGUUUAAUGAUACUGUAAUUACGAUCAACGUUCAGCGACGGGCGUAAAAAAUCGGAUAAAAUUUCAGGAAAAAAAACACUAAAAAAAGUCAAUGUCGGAAACCGACGGCGGAAAAAGCAGACAGAAAAUAAAAAUUAAAAAAAAAAAGUAAACGUCCGAAACCGGCGGCAAAAGAAAGUUCUGAAAAGAAAAAGUCAAAAUUGAAUUUUUGUGGUCAAAAUUGAUUAAAUUGAAGUUAAAUUGAGGUUACUAUUAGGAAUUGAGUUUAAAGAGUUGAGGGUAAUUUUGUCAUAUACAUUAAUUUUACCUUUAUUUAUAACACAUAUUAAAUGGAUGUGCUUAUUGGUGAAAAUUUGAGUACUAUUUCAUUUAAGAGGGGAGGUCUAUUUAAUUUCAAUAUGUAAAAGUGUUAUUCCAAUUUUGAGAUGGAAUACAAUAUACAAUAUGAAAACUAUCUCAAAUGUCUAUUGUAUCCAAAGUGACUUUCGUUGCGGACAAAAUAUCAGUUGGUCCCGCAGCCAUCAAGUUGAUGCCAGACCUAACAUUGAAAUCAUACAGCUGUGAGUGUGGUGUACAAUAAAAUUGAUGGCCACCAGGGUACGGCGCCGGAACGGUCGAAACGGAACGGGAACGGUGCCCUUUGUUCCGGAAUCCCUAACCAAAAUGAAUUUUGCUCAGCAACGCGCGGAACACUGGGAUCACGGCGGGACGAGCGAGACAUGUCCAUAGAACAGUCUUUUCGCGGCCGGAACAGGAGUUCCGACGAUCCGCCGCCGGAAAAAAAAUUAAAAUAAAAAAAAAAGAUAAAAGAAAAGAAAAAUAAAUGUCAACUAAUUGAAGUUAACCAAUGUUGAGUCAGCUAACCGGGGCUCCGACCACGCAGGCCACUGCUGAAAAAAAUAAUAAUAAAAUAACAAUAAAUUAAAAAAAAUAAAAAUAAUAAUAAUCAAAAUAAAAUAAGAUAAAACAAAUCCUAAUUAAGAUUUGAAAGGGUAAAAAGGGUAUAAGCUAAUUAUUUGGGUUUACAGUUAAACCUCUAUAAACUAAUACAAUUGGGACAAUCAAAAUUUCAUUCAUUUAGCGAAAUAUUAACUUAUCGAUAAAUUAAUAAUUAUUAAUUUAUACAUUGAUUAAUAACUUAUUAAUUUAUGAAAUUACUUUUAUUAUUAUUUUCAAUAAAUACAUUUUAUUUUUAUUUUUUUAAGUAUAUAUUAUUCAUUGUACUAUUAGUUCAAUGCACUAUAGAGCUCGUUUCACGAACGAAAGCUCUUAAAGUUGUAAUGGUAUAGAACAAUUUAUCUUGAGUUAUGAGAAAACUAUACCGAAAGUCUAACCAUGUUAAGAAAAUUAAGUGAGGGACGAGAUUGAUGGUAAUGUGAACUUCAACCAGAAACAAGCGGACAAUGAAAUUAUAUUGUGUACUGUUAAGCCUUCAUAGAUCUAUAAAAUAUGUACUAAACCAUGUAAUUUAAGUAGUAUUUUUACGCACUAUUAAUUUAUAUAUUAUAUGGGGCUUCUUAGAACUUUCGAAUGUAUAUUAUCUUAUAAAUUUAGCGAAUUAUUAAUUUAGCAUGUUGUCCCCGAGUCAAGAUCGGGAAAUUUUAUUAUUUAAGCGAGAUUAUUAAUUUAUCGAGGUUCUACUGUAUAUCAAAUGAAACUUAGAACUAAUAAGUUUUACUCAAAAAUUUAAAAAGGCUGGAUUUAUCUCAUGUGUAUAUGGGCGUAUAUAUAUAUAUAUAUAUAUAUAUAUAUAUAUAUAUAUAUAUAUAUAUAUAUAUAUACACACAUACCGAUGUGUAAGAUGUAAUCUAUACUACUUAUAAAAGUGGGAAUAUUAGAGGAGGUUUCUUCCCCUUUUUGUGAUGACCAAAAUGCCCCUAUCAAAAUUAAAAUAAUUAAUAUUAAUUUAUAAUUAGUCAUUUAAUGUAUGUUUAUGAAAAUAAUUGAUAUUUUUAGAGUUCAAUGUAUAAAGGCAUCUGAAAAGAUGAACUCAUGUAUCUAUUAAAUGUUAGUCAUAUAAGAAAUUCAAAGAAACUCAAUGGUCUCGAUAAUUCAAUAUGAAUUUCAAUUUUGCAUAAGUUAAACCAAAGAAAGAAAGAAAUAAUCGUAACUUCCAGUUUCAAGUUCUCAUUCAUCUUUUCUUUCUCUUCUCGAUUUCUUUUUCGUCUUCUUCUUCUUCUUCUUCUUUUUUUUUUUUUUAUUUCGUUUUCAGUUCUAUGUUUAAUGGUUUGAACCCUAAAUAUUGAGAAAUUGAUAAAAUUUUCUAGAUUAAUGAAGGAAUAAAUCCUCCAUAUCAAGAUCGGAUUGAACCUCUGUUAAUAAAGUUUGUAAGUUAUUUUGCAUAUUUUUCGCACUUCUAUGUACUAAGUUAAUUUUUUUUAUUCAUUUGAAUUAAUUGACCUAAUGAAACAUGUAUGGGUUAUAUGCAUGGGGAUUAUUGAUUCACAUGGGGAUUAUUGAUUUAAAAUUAUUUCUACUCAGGUAAUUCAAAACACGUGUCAGUUUCAUAAAAUUAAUGGUCUAUGCAUGGGGAUUAUUGAUUUAACUUUUAUCUACUAAAUUUACUUGCAAUUACAUUUUAUUUUUCCGUUCAAUUCUGUAUUUAUGUAUUGGCAGGUAAGAUUCAUUGUAGUAUAGUUUGUGACUAAGAAUGUUAUACGUGAAGUUUGUAAGGACUUUCUAUUUCAAUUGGCUUCUUCUUGUCAUCUCAAAUUCACGUAUGUACAUUAUCAGUGACUCAUAACAAAAGAAAGAAAAUGUAUUGAUCAUGCAGCUGCUUUAUUUGCUUAAUCCAAAGGUGAUGUUGCAUGACUUUGGGUUUAGCCAGUGAUCCAAUCUCAUCAAAGUUGUUAGUCUUCUUCAACAAGACUAAGCUNNNNNNNNNNNNNNNNNNNNNNNNNNNNNNNNNNNNNNNNNNNNNNNNNNNNNNNNNNNNNNNNNNNNNNNNNNNNNNNNNNNNNNNNNNNNNNNNNNNNCUUCGAAGGAUUAUAACCUUAAUAAUAAUAAUAAUAAUAAUAAUAAUAAUAAUAAUAAUAAUAAUAAUAAUAAUAAUAAUAAUAAUAAUAAUAAUAAUAAUAAUAAUAAUAAUAAUAAUAAUAAUAAUAAUAAUAAUAAUAAUAAUAAUAAUAAUAAUAAUAAUAAUAAUAAUAAUAAUAAUAAUAAUAAUAAUAAUAAUAAUAAUAAUAAUAAUAAUAAUAAUAAUAAUAAUAAUAAUAAUAAUAAAAUAAUAAAAAAAUCAAGAAACGAGAAAACAUAGUCGACGACGUCUGCCACCAUUUAUUUAUUUUUUAUUUUUUGGAUUUUUUAGUAAUUAUUUAAGCUAGGAGGAGUGGUUUUUUGUAAUUUCCAGACUUAGAUCAAAUGGUGUUAAGGUCAAAGGUCUGAAAACUAACGGCAAUGGCCAUAUUGAGACAAUUUUUCAAGUAAAAUCAUAUUCAGCCAAAGUAGAAGGGGGAAAGUGGAAUUUACCCUAAGUUUUAUGCACUUGACAGAUGGUUUAAUAUUGUCUAAUGGUACACAAAUAUAACAUGGAAUUAAAAGUUAUUUCUCAUGUAAUUUAUUUAUAUAAACUUGUUUCCGUGAUUUUUAUUUUGAUGGCGAAAUUUUUAAUACCCGUUGUUUGUUUUAUCUUCUAUAUUAUUUGAAUUUUUAGUGAUUUUAUUUGUUCAUGAACUUCUUAUAUUUUUCAAUUCAUAUUUUUUUCUCUCUAAAUAUUAGGGUCCAAUGGCUAUAGAUAGUUUCCUUUUCAAUUUAGUAAGUUUUGUGUUUACUCCAAAUUAAAAAUCAUGAGUUAAGUUUUAGGCUCUGAUUGAAUCAUCAGUCUCCUUCUCCUUCCUACAGAUAAUACCUCCCACCUUAUGUAAAACACUUGUAUUCGUUGUCGUGCUCUCAUAAAAAAAAUUAAUGUUAUUAGAUAUUAAAUUCCUUUAACACAAAUCUUCGAUCUGGUUCCCGUUACUAUUCAGGUGAGUUUCUGGGAGAUAUUAUUAUAGAAAAUCUACGAGCCAUUCAAGGGGAUACUAGAGUGAAUUAUGCCAGUAUACUUUAUAUGCUUUAUCACUGUUAUUAUUGGAGAUAUUAGUGACAAAUGAUACACUUCACUAAUAGCCUAAGCUUUCGGUUGAGGUAGUCAUUCAACGUGGUAUCAGAGUCAUACCAAAUGAAAGGUCAUGAGUUCGAAUCCUACCGCCAUCCAUUUCAAAUAUUUCAAGUGCAAGACUUCAAAUGUAAUUUGCUUGAACUUUACGGGGCGAAUUGGAGAUAUUAGUAUUAAAUAAUAAUAGCUUAAGUUUUUGGUUGAGGUGGUCAUUCAACAGUUAUAUUUGGUUUUUUUUUUCCCCUUUAUAGCAAGUCGAUGUGAUCCGUCAAAACUACAAGAUAAGGAUGUUGGAUGUACAUCAUAUUUCUUAGACAUAGCAGGCAGGGGAGGUACAACCGUACAGGUGGAGUCAACAACAAAUGGAUUCUCCGAUCCAUGGUGGAGUCACAUGAUGAUAAAACUGGUAGCUGAAGGACAAAAUGAAGCCACCCAAAAUGCAUAGGCAUAAAUUUCAGCUCAAUCUUGUAUUCUCGAAUGGUUUUACUAAAUAGUUAGUUUUAGGAAGCUAAGUGAAGAAAUGGUUGUACAUGUAGUCCGUUCUUUGUUUUGAUAUUUCAUGACAUACCAAUGGCAGAAGACAAACUGUUUUAGUUUCGUUAAUAUAUUUCAUUGUUUUAUUUAGAAUUGUAGCAGGUUUUACUGUAUACAGGUCAAGAUUAUGCUCUUGAUACGCUCUUUUAGAAUGCAUUCAAAUAGACAAUCAACUCAAUGCUCUAGAAGAAAGAAGGCACAUUUUACUACCCUUGAGAUACAAGUUCACUUGAGAUAUAUCUUUCAAUCUUUGUAACAUAUCAAAGAUAUCAUUGUAUGCAAACUUAUGGAAAAUAUUUAAAGUUCUUCCAUGAAUUAUUUAUUCUUUAUAAUUAGACAUAGUUUCACUUUGUGAUAUUAUUAUGUCAUUACUUUGACAGGAUGAUGGUCUAGUACAUAGUAUGUCAAAGUCAAAAUGCCAUGAGGUAUGUUAUUAAAAUAUGCAAGUCUCUUUUUUGUUUAUGAGAACCUCUCUUCUUCUAUGUUUCGAAUUUAUCUAAAUUCUCUAACUCUUAAACGAUCGAGACCAUUAUAGAGCAACUCUAGACUCGCGUUCAUGUGGAGUGAUACUCUUUGUAAAGUUUGCACGAACCUAACCUUCUUUUUACACUACUGUGAAGCAUAUUGACCAAUUAAAUUUGUGUAGAGUAUGUUUGGAACAUAAUUUACAUUCAUGCUCAUUGCUAGCUAGAAAUUAUGUUAAUGCACAAGCUUCUGAGUUUUUUGUCUAUUUUUCUGAUGUAUGUUUCAUCGUUCAAUAAGAAAAAAAAAAUGGAAUUGGUUAAAGAGCGGGUAAUCCAUAAUAAGCAUAGCAUGUUCUAUAAGGACUAGGUGUGCCAUGAGGAACAUUACAAUUGGAUGAUGCAUUUUGGUUAUCAUGAGUACAUUUGAUGUCCCACCAGAGAGUUAUAAGAGUUGUAUUAGUUUUCAACGAUUUCACAUAGACAUCAUUAACUUCAACAACUACCAUAUUACAAUAGCAAUACUAAACAAAAUCUCGUAAUUGACUGCAAAUUUGAUCAUAAAUCUCGAAAAAUAUGUUUUCCUAGGAUUCACCUGAAUUUCAAUGUAUAUGCAAUACAAAGAAGAUAAGAGAGACAUUUUAAGUUUGAUUUGAUGUAGUUUACAUUUCUCCAAUAUUUACAGAAGUAGCAAUAUGUUUUUGGUCUAAAACCAACUGACUCAUAUUUUAUAAAAGGCAUAUUGUAUUCUAAUAUGGAUACAGAAAAUUUAUUUUCACCAUAUAAUAAUAUUACGACACGUGCAACGCACGUGCACAUUGCUAGUGGCUAAAAAAAACCCCAUGUUAAAACAAUUAGCAAUUACCCCCCCCCCCCCCCCCCCCCCCCGAUGUUGCAUUUUAUUUGGUUCACUGCAUAAUGGUGGGCUACUAUCGGGAGAUGACGGAGAAGACGCAAAAAAAUGCAAAAAAUAGUUUUUUUGGUUGAUUUUUUUCUUUGAAAAGCUCUGUUUUCGAUGGGGGCAUGUAUUUUCUUGAAUUUUCAUGGGUUGUUGAUGGGUUUUGCAGAAGAAUCAUGAGCUUGACUCUUAGCUCCAAACCGAACCGAAUUUCAUCGGAGAAAAUGUUGGAGUGGUGGGGCGAAGCGGAGGCUGAGGAUAUGGAGAGAGGUGAGGCCGGAGAGAGUGUUCGCUGGAAGGAGAGCGGCGGUCAGUUAUGUUCAGUGUAGUUUCGGAAAAUUGCAAAUCAGUCCCUGACUUAAGGAAGAAGAGGGCCUUUCUGAAACUCCAAGGGACCGAAUUGAAAAAAUAUAAACUUUAUUUGGGGCUUAUUUUUGAAAUUUAUAAUUUAAAGGGUAUUUGGGUCUUUUCACGUCAAAAAAUUGAACCCCAGUUGCAUAUUUGACGAGUGGAUCACACGACCAUCUCGUAGGGGCCUUAAUGUCAUUGACCAUGCAACACAGGGGUAUGUGCUAAUUGUUAUGACAUAUGAGCUUUUUUAGUCAUUAGAAAUUACACAGGUAGGGAUGGCAAAAAAACCCGAUCCGCUAGCUAUCUGUGGUUAUCCGCUCCAUUUCAAACUCGCUACCGAAACCAUUAGGGUUUGGUAAUGGUUUUGGUAAAAGAAAAGCAAACCGUCAUGGUUUUGGUAUGGUUCUGGUUUUAGCUCUAUGGUCACGGGUACCCGACCAUUUUAUAUAUAUAUAUAUAUAUAAUAUAUUAUUUUUUAAUUCAACAUAAUAUGAAUAAAAAAAUAAUCUGGCAAAAUCUUAAAUAAUUUAGGGAGGAUAUAAUUUUACUACUAAAUGAAUUACUCAAAUACAUCAGAAAUUUUGUACCAUUCCAGUCAAUUGUGUGUCCUAAAUUAUAAUUAUGGUUUGAGCUAUAUUAAAUGGUAAUGGUUAUGAUAUUUUUUCUGCUAAGAAGAUAAUGUUUUGAGUAUGAAAACUAUCUCAAUAGAAAAUGAUAGAUUGGUUUUGUGUGUGUAUCUCAAUAGUCAUCCAAAGUGGCUCUCGUUGCCGACAAGACACAGUUAUCACACAGCUGUGAGUGAGGGGUCAACCUUUUAAAUGUAGCAAAUUAAAAAAUAAUUCCACGAAUCAUUAAUUAAUGAAUAUUAAAUACAUAAAGAAAUUACUAUUUCACCAUUUUAAAAGAAAAAAUCAAAUUAAAUUUCACAAUAAUACUAUUUGGGAAAAAUAAAAAUAUUUAAAACACCAAUUUCCUCAAAAUGAAUAUGCACGUUAAUUAGUUGUAUGAACAUAAGAAAAAAAAAUGAAUUUUAGGAAAGAUUCCAUAUUACUAAUGGUAUGGUUAGUCACUUAACCAUGGUUGGAAAGAAGACUAUGGUUGGAAACAAGGGAAAGCAAAAGUUCUCAUUUCUCACCAUUUGCAAUUUGCUUAACAUUCUCUCUCAAUCUCUCUCUUUCUCUCUCUAAAAAAAUACACACACAUUCUCAAAGAAAACAAUGGCAGCAGAAGCUGUGCUAGGAGCUGCAGUUCAAGUUUUACUUCAAAAUCUGGUCUUAGUUUCGGAGAAGCAAAUCAUAAGUCCCAUUUGAGAUUUCAAGAAAGAUUUGAGAAAGCUAAAAGAUUAUGUCUUAAUGAUUAAGGAUUUCCUAGACGAUGCUGACAAGCAGCAAAUCACCAGAGAAGCCGUCAAACGCUGGUUGAAGAAGCUUGAAGUUGUGGCUUUCGAUGCAGAUAAUGUUUUGGAUGAGAUCAACUAUCAACUUCUCUCCAAGCAAAUUCAGACAGAAAAUAAAACGAAGACAAAGGUACGAGGCUUCAUCCUACGUCGUAUUCGCCGUAUAAAAAUGGCACGUAAAAUCAAGGAUAUCAAUCAAAACUUGGAAGAGAUCAACCUCGAGGCAAACAAAUAUGGCCUUGAAAAGACAGUGGUAGGUGAGUAUGCUCCGAUUACUCACCUAGAAACUGAUGCAUUCAAUAUCGAUCCGAUUUUUCUUGGAAGAGAAGGUGACGUGUCUGAAAUAGUGAAGGCGAUGACUACUCUUCCAAAUGAUCAAGUACUCUCUAUCCUCCCCAUUUUCGGGAUGGGAGGACUCGGAAAAACAACGGUAGCUCGGAACGUGCUUGAUCAUGAAGCCAUAAAGGCUCAUUUUGCUAAGCGUUUUUGGGUGCAUGUCUCUCAAAACUUCGAUGCCAAGAUUCUUUUCAAUAAGAUUCUUACAUCGUUAACAGGAACAAACGCCGGACUUGGCGAUAAACAGGCAGUUCUGGAAGAGCUUCAAAAGAAGUUAGGAGCUCAAAGAUUUCUACUUGUUCUCGACGAUGUUUGGAAUGGAAAUCAUGAAAUAUGGAGUGAUUUUAUCAAUUCGUUGAGAAAAAUUACUUCUGCUACGGGAAAUGGCAUCGUUGUUACUACGCGAAGUGAAAAUGUUGUUUCACUGGUGAAAACACUCCCUACUAUGCACAAGCUAAAUAACUUGUCAGAAGAUGAGUGUUGGUCCAUAAUCAAAACAAAAUCCGUUGGAGAAGGUGAUAUUCCAUCAGAAUUUCAGAGAAUUGGCAUAUCUAUUGCAAAAAGAUGCCGAGGUUUGCCAUUGGCGGCCAAAGUGGUUGGGGGAUUGUUGCGCGGUAAGUCGAUUGAUGAGUGGCUGUCGAUUGAUGAGAAAUGGCUUUCAGAUUUAAAAGAUAAAAAUCUAGUCUCCAAGAUUUUGAAACUGAGUUUUGAUCAUUUGUCGCCACCAUCACUCAAAAAGUGCUUUGCUUAUUGUUCGAUAUUUCCUAAAGGAUAUGACUUGGAAAGGGAACGCUUGGUUGAGCUUUGGAUGGCAGAAGGAUUCCUUGGAGGAAAUGAUGACAUGGAAAUUGUUGGCAACAAAUUCUUUAAUCAACUUCUAGAGAACUCCUUGUUGUUACAAGUUGUGGGGAGAAAAUACUAUUAUGGCGGUGCCGAUAUAACAUAUUAUAACAUGCACGAUCUUGUGCAUGAUCUUGCAUCUUCUAUUUUAAAUUCAAGCGACCAAGUUCGGUACAUGGGCCUGCAGUCCAGUAGUGGUGAAUCGUGUACUAGCCUAACUGAACAAGCAAGUUGUAUUCGUUCGUUAUUGUUCAAUGAUAAAAUAUGCAUGCUCGUGUUCUCGGAGUUCACAUCGUUGCAUGUUUUAAUUCUGAUGGACUAUUGUGUUAAAGAGUUGCCAAGUUCAAUCAAAGAGCUAAUGCAUUUGAGAUGUCUUGACAUUUUAGGUUCAAGGAUUAAAUGUUUGCCAGACUCUGUUGGUGAACUAUAUCACUUGCAGACAUUAAGAUCAUGUCAUACCUUAAAGAAACUGCCAAACACAUUGAAGAACUUGAUUGACUUAAGACAUCUCCACAUUCCUCGAAUUGAAUUACCUCCAGGAAUGAGAAGAUUAACUUCUCUUCGAACACUGCCGUACUUUGGAGUGGGUGAUGAAAAGGGUCGUGGAAUUAGUGAGCUCGAAUGCUUGAAGAACCUGGAAGGAAAGCUGGAGAUCUAUAAUCUUGAGAAGGUGCAUGACAAAGAAGAGGCUAAGAGAGCAGGUUUAUUACAAAAGCCAAACAUAGUCAAGUUAAAGCUUGCAUGGAAUGAAGAUAGAGAAGGUGGAAAUGGCGAUGAGAGUGUGUUGGAAGGCCUCCAACCCCACCCAAAUUUAGAGAGCUUAAAGAGUUGAGGGGAAUGUCAGAGCUGACGGAGUGGUUAGAAGCUGAAUUGCCAAGUGCAGCACCUGAAAAUGAUCAACGACUUGUUGUAUUUCCUCGUCUCGUGUACUUGCAGAUUAAAUAUUGUAGGAAAUUGAAGAGUGCUCCGAGUCACUUUCCAUGCCUUAAAGAAUUGGAGAUUGGUGAGGUGGAGAGCGAAUUACCUUUGGCAAGUAUAUGUGGGAUCAACUUAAUCUCUGUUACAAAGCUCCAAAUUGAGUUAAUUGAUGGAUUGACGUGUCUCCCAGAUUGGCUUUUCCUUAAAAAUCAAAAUCUCUCGAAGUUGGAGAUAACGGACUGUCGUAACUUAACGCAUCUAGUUCCGUGCUUGGAAGGUGGAGGAACAGCUCUUAGGAAUUUGGAGAUACGGAAAUGUCCGGAAUUGAGAGAAUUACCAGAUGAUCUACACACCCUCAGUGCUCUCGAGAAGUUGGCGAUUUACGGAUGCUCAAAACUGAAGACAAUACCAUAUCCACAUGAAACACAUAAUGAUGAUGUUGAUGAGCAAUUAUUGUUAGGCUUGAGUUGCCUUCGUCGAUUGAGUAUUGAACACUGCGAUGAGCUGACCAAUUUGCCGAUUGAGUUAUGUGUGGAGUCCUUGGAGAGUUUGACACUGAGUGGAUUAAUGAAUUUAAGGAUGAACAUGGGAACGUUGAUUGGGUAUUGUAUGCAGAAAAUGCCUCGUCUCUCUGAGUUGAUGAUUGUUGAUGUUCCAACCACUAAUAAUCCAUGGGAGAUUGUUGGUUCUUUUUCUCCUUGCAACUUAAUAGAUUUAUCAAUCAGUUGUGAUGAGUACUCAGUUUCAGUUGUUGAUGCCAUCUUGAAAGCAACAACCAAAUCUCUUUAUGGAUUAGCAUUGCACGGGACAGAGCGUAGUCGUGAACUACCGGGGCAGCUUCAACAUCUCACUGCUCUUUCUCGGCUACGGUUAUAUGAUUUUGGAGAGAUGGAAGAAUUGCCUGAUUGGGUAAUUGGGAACAAUAACAAUGACAACAACAACUUGUCCUCAUCUAUGCAUAUGUUAUCUUUAUACGGCUGCAAGAAGUUGCGAUAUCUGCCGUCUAAGGAAGCCAUGCUACGUCUCAUCACCUUAAACAUCUCGGAUUGUCCGAUGUUAGAUAUAAAAGGUGGAGAUAGCGAUUAUGGUUCUGAGUGGCCCCAGAUAUCCCAUAUCCCCAGAGUCUAUGUGGAUGGGAAUCAAAUUCCAACUCAUGCUCAGUAAAUGUAACUAUACUUAUUACUGUUUUAUUUGAUUUACCAGAUUAUAUUCUUUUUUUUUCCUUUUCUUUUUCUAUUGUAUUUAUUUUUCUUUUUGUUCCUGCAGCAUCAAAAUUUAAUUUGUUGCUUAAAUAGAAUAGGAUGCUCAAGGCACACAAAUAUAUAAAUCUAUUUCAAAUUUAUUUCGAUACAUAUUGAUUUUAUUUUUAUUUCAUAGAUUUAAUUAGACACCCCUCCCGCAAAGUUUUAAUUUAGGAUUCGGUGCCAAACCAACAUAAUAUUUCUUCUUCUUCUUUCUUGGAUUUACCACAUUUUAUUUGGUUUACAUAUUCAUUGAUCUUCUUUUUUACUAUUUUCUUUAUAAAUGUGGUCAUUUUGUUAUUUCUCAUUUUUUUGAUGAGUUAUUAAUCGAAAUUGAGCAUUUUUGUUGCAUAUUGCCCCUUCAAAUAUUAUUUUUGUUGCACGUUGCCUCCUAAAAAUGUUAUUUUUAUUGCUACGUUGCCGAAACCGAAACUCGUAGCCAUUCUAAUAUUGAUUUAGCUUUCCGCAUUAAGCAAAGAAUCCUAUCGAACACGACGUAAAUCUAAUUCAACUUAUUAUAUCUAUCAUAAUAAAUUUGAAUUUGAAAAAGAACCAAUCCACUUUAAUUUCUCUAGAUCCCGUUCGAUCAGAAAAGAAGAAAAAAACCCCAGAAAAUAGCUUGUCACAUCCAUUAUAUACGGGAAAUACGGUGUUCGUAGAAGAUAACAAACAGCGAAAUACGGUGUUCGUAGAAUAAUCCAGAAAAUUGAAUUAUUAAUAAAAAUUGUAUCAGAUGUUAAAAUACAUUAUACAUGCAUGCAUACAUUUCAUCAACAUAGCAGAUUUAAGGUAGAGAUUCACAUCUAGCAACAACUUUAAGAGGAAAUUUUCUAUGAAUAGUAAGUCCAUCACCUUCACGCAUAUCCAAAUCUUCUCCACUCGCGCCACCUGGCAAUUCAAAUUCGAAACUUAAAACAACAUUCGCAAGAACAAGCUCCACCGAAUUACGUAAAAAUCUCUCCGGAUUUUCCCACAAAAUUGGAUCUCUCUCACAAUAGCCCACACGUUUAAAACCAAUCGUGUGCCUUUCGGUUGACUCUCGAGGAAUGAGUAGUGUGUAUGUUGUGUCGAUUCCAGCAGCAAACAUGUCAUGUUAUAGAUUAUUAUUAAAAUUGUGAUCAUCUUGAUGAGAUAGAAUACUUUAAAUCGAAUCAUUUUCGAGUUUAAUUUGCAGUCUCUCGUCAUACAAAAGCAUGAAGAUUUCAAUUGAGUCUAUAAAUUGAACCUCUUAUUAUUAGUUUCUAACUACAGUUAAACCUCUAUAAAUUAACACAGAGUCCGGACUAGCAAAAUUCUAUUAAUUUAGCCAACUAUUAAAUUAUCGAGUUAAUACUUUAGUACAUUUUUGCCGACUCGGGCCGAAAGAAAUUAUUAUUUACGCGAGGUUAUUAAUUUAUCGAGGUUCUUAUGUAUAUUGCAUUUGCUACAAACACAGAAAAGAAAGAAACUAAAAAAAUAAUAUUAAAGGCAAAUUACGGCAACCCCCUUUAGCUAAGGUCAAACUACGAAAAAAUCCUUCAAGUCGGUAUAUUUAAGGGCAUUCAUUCGGUAAAAUUGUACUGCAACUUCGGUACGCCAAAAUUUCAUACCGCUUACCAUUCGGUUCGGUAAAUAACCGAAUUACCAAAAUUUUAUUCAAAAUAUUUAAAAAUUUGAUUUAAUUUUUUAUUUUCUUAAUUAAUUUUAGUUUAAAUACUAACUACAUAUAUAAAAUAUAUGGGUAACUAGCAUUAAACCGCCUAAACUUUGCCUAUUUUUGCGGAUUACCACCUCAACAAAGAAAAGAAAAAAAAACUCCGAUCCCACCCGAACUCAAUAAGUUAUGCCACAUUGCCAUUUUUCACCCAUUUUCAGGCCAAAAUAACCGGAAUUAAGGGGUGGUUGUAAUUAUGCAAACAUGAGGGAUUAUUUUCGUAAUUUGCCUUACCUUAGAGGGUGGCCGUAAUUUGCCCCAAUAAUAAAAAAUCCAAGAACACAGACAUAACAAACUACAGAGGCACCCUGUUCCACUUAAUCAAGAAUUCAAUUCAAGAACUGUAAAACGCAAUGCAAACAUUACCAAGACAAGAGCUUUGAUCGAGCUUUCUUCAAGAACAAAACCACCCUCAUCGUUCCUCCGAAUAUCGAGCAACACAUCGACAAAAUCCUUCUCGUUUCCGCGAAUUCCACCACCUUUCAAAUGCUCCUUCACAACAAAAUCCAAAAACUCAUCGAGAUCUUCCUCGACUCCCCGAACUUUACGAUUCAUCCCAUUAACAUAUUUAACCCAAACAAGCCAAGGAACGUAACUCCCCGAUUUCGAAACCACCCAACAAAACCCCUAACCUCUCCAAAACAUCCUUAAAUCAAUCACACGUUUUUCACUACACGAAUUGUCUGCUCUUCUCCAACAUAACAGAAACCUCUUCCUCCCGAACAUUCCGAAAAGACUGAACUUUUCGAAUGCUCAGAAGCUGGUUAACGCAAAUACUCUUCACGCGCCUCCAGUACUCGCCGUAUGUUGAAAAGGCGAUGUCUUCACAGUCGUAAAUACCACGCGCCACGCUUGAUUCGGGCCUGUUGGAGCAAAUUGGGUCGUGGAUUUUCAGUAUUUCUUUAGCUAAAUCAGCUGAUGAAACAUUAAAAGGGCCGUGUUUUCUUGAUAGAGAGUGGAGGGUUUUUGUGGGGGCUGAACCCUAAUUAGUGGAGGUUUCCGAUUACUGGAAGCUUCGGCGGCGACGGCUUGAUGGGUUUUUGAGAGGUGGGCCGUUUUCUUUUUAUGAUUGCGAAAAUUAUUGUGAAAACUGAAAAGGAACAAGGGGAGAAGAAGAAAUUUGGAAACAUCCAUGGGUUUUCUUGAUCGUCAAAGGUGUAGGAAAACAUUAAUUUUUAUGUCUGAAAAAUUGGUGAAUUUGGAAGGAGAAAUGGAGAUGGAAUCUUUUAAUGUUUGUGGGAAUAUUAGCUUUAACAACGUGAAGUGGGAAGUAGAAUAAUAUGUUACGGCCCGCAUGGUAUAGCAUACUGGCCAAUAGCUCAACUGGUUCCGGAUGUGCUAAGUUGGUAUAAGAAUAAUAUGUUCCAUAAAUAUCAACAAGAAAUUUGUUGAAACUCACUCACCAUAAAUGUUUAUUCGGGGAAAUUACAGUUUUCACUCUUCAAAUUUGCAUCGAUUUUACAUUUGGUCCCUCAUGUUCACAAAAAAACAUAUUUGGUCCUUCAUGUUUCAAUAAUUUAACAGUUUUGGUCCUUUCGUCAAUUUACCGUUAAUCAGUUAGUUAAGAAAAUCAUGGAACAUGCUUGAUUCGGUUAGUUUUCACGGAAAAUUGACUGAAAUGACUAAAAGUGUUGAAUUUUUAAAACAUAAGAGACCAAAUGUAUUUUUUGUAAAUAUGGGGGAUCAGAUGUGAAAUCGGUGCAAACUUGAGAAACGAAAAAAGUAUUUUUCCCAUUUUUAUUUCGUAGGCAGUGACGAAACCAUGAUUUCGUAGACAGUGGCUGUAAUUUGCCCCUCCCUCUAUAUAUGGGGUGAGAUUGUACAAUCCAACACUUUUUUUUUAGAGAAAUACAAUCCAACAUUUUUAGAUGACAUUGUUAUAACACAUUAAUUCACAUACAUAAUCCCAUCCUACAAACCAAUCAUACUUUAUUAAGAACCUAGGCCUUGGUUUAAUAAUCACACCAUUUUCUUGAAUCACAUCUCAAUUCAAAGAUAAGAUAACUAAAUCAAGAACAUUCCAACUUAGAAAUAAAAGCAUCAAUAUUUAGGUCAGAAGUACCACCCUCACUAACUGCCUCCUUAGCCAAAUCCCUCCACUUAACACAAUUCCUCUUCAUCUCUUUCCCCUUCUCCCCUUCCAUCACUUCCCUUACACAACUCUCAAUCUCCUCUCUCCUCACAAUACCAUUUUCUUCGGAAACCCUAACCCUAAUCCCCACUCCCCAAACAUCUUGCACGAGCUUAGCAUCCGUCGUUUGAUCCGUCCACUGCGGCAUCACAACCAUCGGCACACCCAAGCUCAACGCCUCGGUCGUCGAAUUCCAACCGCCGUGCGAGAAGAAGCAACCUAUGGCUUCGUUCGACAGAACUUCCAGCUGCGGGCUCCAGUGCGCGAACAGUGCCCUUUCGGACGAGGCUCGGACGAAACUUUCCGGAAGCUUCUCUUCCUUGUCGAAAACCCUAAUGACCCAAAGGAAGUCGAAAUUGGUGUUGUUCAAGCCCCAUGCAAUCUCUUCCAUUUGUGCUUUGGGGAGAUUGUCCAUGCUGCCGAAUGCUAUGUAGACGACCGAUUUUGGUGGCUUUGUGUUUAGCCAAUCGAGGAUUGUUUGCGAGGGGUCCGAUUGGAAGAGGUUUACGUCGUAUUUGUCGUCGUUUUCGAUACGGUUGUCCAAAUAGAAAGAUGGGAGUGUUGGUCCAAUUGUUAGCAUUGGACACACUUUUGUCAUUGAAUCCACAACCUGUCGUUGGAAAAGAAUUGGCAAACAUUUACGUACAUAAAAAAUAUGUAAUAAAAAAAUAGAUUGAUUUAAUUUUCUAUUUUCUAUUUUCUAUUUUUCUUGGUUGCCCCACUUUCCAUACGUUGAUAGUGAUGCAGGCACAAAUAUUUCAAAAAAGACAAAGUUGAUUGAGAUAUUCAAAUUUUUACAUCGAUAAUGAUAAGAAGAGUCGUCUACGUCUUUCACUAUAUAUAAUAAUAAUAAUAUUAUUAUUAUUAUUGCUGGGUGGAGCUUGUCACACAUGGUUAGCCUAGUAUUUUUUACGUCUCUCGUAUUGCAAGUUCUUAUACGAGGGUGUAAAGUUUGCCCAAUGCACCUAUAUAAUUAGCUGUCGGUUCCUUCAUUAAAAAAAAAAAUUGGAUAAAAGAGUCUUCUAAAAUGUCCAAUAGUAUUAGUAGUUCAUUGUUAAAUAUCCAAAACUAUAAAAUUAACAUAAACUAAUGUGGUGUUAUUUUUAUCAUUAAUCCAAACUUGUAAAUCCAACCCACUUUUUUAUACCAAUUUGACCUAAUUAAAAACACAACUCUAGUAUUUUUUUUUUGAUGUUUAAUUAGAUAAUGUAAUCGUUACAUAUUAUAUUUGCUUUUCAAAAUGAGACUAUUUUAUAUAUCAGAAUAACGGGAAAUUACAGUUUUCGUCCCUCAAGUUUGCCUCGAUUUCACAUUUGGUCCCCAUGUUCACUAAAAACGCAUUUGGUCCCUCAUAUUCCAAUAAUUUAAUACUUUUGGUCAUUUUUGUCAAUUGACCGUUAGACUGUUAGUUAAGACAGUCAUGUAACACACUUGAUUCCGUUAGUUUAACCGAAAAAUUGACCGAAAGGAAUAAAAGUGUUAAAUUUUUUAAACAUAAGGAACCAAAUGUGUUUUUUUCUGAACAUGGGGACCAAAUGUGAAAUCAGUGCAACCUUAAAGGACGAAAACUGUAUUUUUUUCCUCGUAAUAAUUCUUAAUUCAGUUAACAAUGAUCAAACCAUUCAUCAUUAAUUCAAUAUAAUUCCUUUUUUUCUCUCUCUUUAUGAAUUAAGUUUUUCUUUAUGAAACCAUUCAUCCUUUUUUUUUUUUUUAAUAAUGAAUUAAAGUUAUAAAAGCAUAAUUUUACCUUCUCCUCCAACUUGUAAAACGUGUUGACAAGCACAAAAUCAGCCUUGUCCACAUUCGAGAACUGAUUCAGCACCAUCUCGAAGUAAGCCGGGUACGAACCACUCACGUGCAUGAACGACGGCAAGUCCGGCAACUCUAGCGGCGGCAGCCCUGGAAUCUCCACCGGCGGCGGCGUCACCACCGGAAUAUCCAACAACCCACGGUGCACAUAAUAGUACACAUAGUUCACCGCACACGCCUGCGUGAAAAAGCACGCCGCCCUUAUACCAAAUCUCAUCGUCACAUCCAAAACCCAAGGCAAAAACGCAUCGUAAACUAUGCAAUCUACGGCCAAAUUUCGGUCUCGGUACGAUUUGAUGAGAUUUUCUAGGGUUCUCGAGCCCUCGACUUCCAUCCGGUUUAGGUAAUCGGAGACGCUCUCGGCUUGCUGGAAACCGCCGGCGUCGAAGCCGUCGGAGAUGGACGCGAUAUCGACGGAGUCGGAUUUAGGGUUGAUGGAUUUGGAGAUGAAGUUGGUGAUGGUGAAGGUGGCUUUGGCUCCUUUGGAGACUAAGCGUUUGCAGAAUUGGAGCAUUGGGUUUACAUGGCCUUGGCUUGGAUAAGGUACACACAAGAUAUGUACUCUAUGUUCUUUUUUCUCCUUAUCCAUUUUCAUCAUUUUUCCUUUGAAUAUGCUAUUUUUGAAUAAAUUCACACACACACAUAUAUAUACAUAUGUAGAGACAGGUGGGGUUUUUGUUUCUUUCUAUAUAGAUAGAUAUAUAUGUGGAUCAGAAAAAAUACAGUUUUCGUCGCUAAAAUACAUUUGAUCCGUCAUGUUCACAAAAAAUACAUUUGGUCUCUGAUGUUUUCAAAAUUUAACAAUUUUAGUCGUUUCUAUCAAUUUUCCGUUAGUACUAAUGGAAUGUGUGUGUCCGUCUGAUGCGAUCUCUUGAGUAUCAUAAAUAUUUCCUACGAAACGUAAGAUCUAUUCUUUAAUAUUUCUCUCUGCAUUAUAAAACCCUAGCACAAAACGACUAUUUAAAGAUAAUAAAACCCUAGAAUCCUAAUCUAACUAGGAAAGAUAAUUACCUAUACUAAUUAAAUACUUAAUAAUCCUCCUAAUCAUCCUAACCCUAAACUAACAUACGGCUAUAUCUAAUAUAAAUAUACUAUGAUAAUUAAUUAAUAAUAAAAUAAUAACUAACUAAUAAUUAAACGAUAUAUUUAAUAAUAUAUCGUAUCAAACCACCCCUCUUGAAAUGAACCUUGUCCUCAAGGUUCGAGUCAAUUUGGUCUCUCUCCUUUGCGUUUCCACCUAUGUUUGACUUUAUCGACUUGCUUCCCGAUUGACUCCGAAAAACACGAUGAACGACCGAGCUUUUUACCACAUUGUUCAUGCUGAUCCAAUGAAAUAACAAAGGCUACUUUAGCGAAAAUAUUCAAUCUUUUUCCCGACAAAUCAACCUUCUCAAUUGCCUUUUCAAAUUUCAUCUCCUUCACAAUCAAUAUCAUGCUUUUAUUUUUCUCGGUCGUCUUAACAGAUCCGGGCUCAUUCACAGUCACCAAAUCUUGUUCGUCUCCUUUCUUUUGAAUAUCGUGGGACUCUUCUAAUAUCCACUGUAGUUCUUCGUUCUCUUCCUUAGUUAAUUCCUCACCUUCGUCCCAAAUUACCUCAAGUGAAUCCGAUAAUUCAUCUUUCGGCGAACUCACAAAAAAUUGGGGUUCUUCGAAACAAUCAUCGUCGUCCUCUUCCUCUUCUUCCGGCAAUAGGCUCGGCAACGGCGGCGGCGGUGGUAGUGGCGGUGACUCUUCGAAAAAGUCAUCGUCGUCUUCUUCCUCUUCGUCCGGGAAUAGGCUCGGCAGCGGCAGCGGCGGUGGCGGUGACGGGCGGCGGUCCCUUCGGCAGCGGUCCCUUCGGCUUUUGUGAUGGCGUUGACGUCGUCCUUGACUUUGUUCGAGCAAUUUCUGAAAAUUAAUCCGUAAUUUCUCUACGGAUUUUUCCAAUCGCUCCAACCGUCUUGUUUCUGACAUCAUGAUUUUCACAAAGUUUUGAUGUGAUCUCAACUUUGCUCCAGCGUAGCUUUGAUGUAAUCGCUGCCUUGCUAACGAAGCGUUGGUGUUAAUCGCAACUUCGCUCUGAUACCAAUUGAUACAAUCUCUUGAGUAUCAUAAAUAUUUCCUACGAAACGUAAGAUCUAUUCUUUAAUAUUUCUCUCUGCAUUAUAAAACCCUAGCACAAAACGACUAUUUAAAGAUAAUAAAACCCUAGAAUCCUAAUCUAACUAGGAAAGAUAAUUACCUAUACUAAUUAAAUACUUAAUAAUCCUCCUAAUCAUCCUAACCCUAAACUAACAUACGGCUAUAUCUAAUAUAAAUAUACUAUGAUAAUUAAUUAAUAAUAAAAUAAUAACUAACUAAUAAUUAAACGAUAUAUUUAAUAAUAUAUCGUAUCACCGUCACAGCGGACUAAUGGUAAAUUGACGGGAAUGACCAAAAGUUUUAAAUUAUUCAAACAUGAGGGACCAAAUGUGUUUUUUUGUGAACAUGAGGGACCAAAUGUGGAAUUAGUGCAAACUUGAGGGGUGAAAACUGUAAUUAUCCCAAUGGAUGGAAUAGAUCUAUCUCAUGUGUUUUACGCGCUGUAGCAUUAAUAUAAACCGAGAUGACCCUGCUAAUCAUAGCACGCGCCAACCUCUUUAAUUUCCUUUUUUUUUUUUUACUUCUUUUAUUUUUUGUUGUUUUAUUUAAUUGUUUUGCAUAUAAAUAUUUUUUUAAUUAUUAAAAAGUAGCUGUUACAAAACUUAAAUCUUAAAAUGCAAUGUAUAUAGUGGCUAUUUGAGGAAACCCUUCAUUAUUUUUUUAGGGGAAAUUGGCUAGACACCCCUUAUUCUGGACUUAUAUAGGUAGGGAUCCUAGUUGCUAGAUGAAUAUAGGCAUAGGUCCUUUAUCACAAAAAAAUAAUAUAAAUAAAAUAAAACAAUUAGUAUAUAGACAUAAACACCCUCAAUUAAUAAGAAAACAAAUCUCAUACACUCUCUCUCUCCAAUCUUACGUAUCUUUCUUCCUAUAUAAUCUCUCAUAUUUCUCUUCCUCUCCAUCUCGUGUCUCUGGCUUUUUUCUUCUGAUUUUUUUUUCUUUUCGAUCAACACUUUUCGAUUUUUUUUUCCGAUCAACUUCUUUCUUUCUCUAUACCCUUUCUCGAUUACAUCUGUUCGAUUUUUUUUUCUUUGGAAUUCAAUUCUUUUGGAUUAUGUUGUAGGGAAGGAAAAAAAAUUGAAGCUUUACAUUAUUAGAUGAUUUUUCGGUGAAAGAGUUAAAAGCGGACAACAAACAUAAAUCGCUCAUUGCUUGCACAAGGUGAGUUUUUUUUUCUCGUUUUGUAUUUAUCUGUAGUGAGUUUAUAAUGUUUGUUUGUAUUUCUAACUGAUUUUGGUUCAAUAAAUAGCAAAAAACAAAAAAUUAAACUGCAAAAUCAAAUUGUUGUUACAAACUGCAAAUUGCAAUCGAUAACAGUAGAUUUUGUUGCAAACUGCAAAUUGCAAUUUUUGCAUUGAUAGAAUAUUUUUUAUAAUUUUAUUGUUAUUUUUUACAUUUUUAUGAUAUGUAUGAUAGCAAAAAACAAAAUAAUGAAACUGCAAAAUCAAAUUGUUGUUACAAACUGCAAAUUGCAAUCGAUAACAGUAGAUUUUGUUGCAAACUGCAAAUUGCAAUUUUGCAUUGAUAGAAUAUUUUUUAUAAUUUUGUUGUUAUUUUUUGCAUUUUUAUGAUAUGUAUGAUAUUUUUGUUCUGUAUUUUUAUUUUUAUUAUUUACAUUUAGAUAUUGCAUAUUAUAUUUUCAUUUUAUUUUUUGUAAUUAGAUGAUGCUGAUUUUUUUACUUGUUCGAUUGAUUGUUUGUAUUUGGUGAAUUCAUAGGUAGUUUGUUGUUUUAAAUUCAAUAAUGCAAGUUUUAAUUAUUAGUUUGCUAUUUGCAUUUUAUAGAGACAUAAGCAGGCGGUUGCGGCAGUGGCGCGACGUUCGUAGCGGUGGUGCAUUUUUUACAACCUGAGUUGUUACCGAACAACAAACAAUUUCUAAACAGCAAACGACACGAAGGAAAAUUGGUAAACAACAAAUCGAACGAAGGAAAAGGGAAUGAAGGCAAACUGCAAACGACCUUGUAAACUGCAAACGCUCAGACACCCAAAUCUAUGGAAGGCUUCAAAAUUUGUGGUGAUUUUGGUUUUGAAAAAACAGGGAAGAAUCGAUAUCAAGAGAGUUGCAGUCCUAAUUUUCGGAUUUGUUGUAUAAUAUAGGGAGAAAAAUUGGGGAUUUGAUUUUGAGGAUUUAUUUUACCAUAUAUUGAUAGGGGUAUUUUUGACAAAUUACAUAUAAUAAAAUCUGCUGGGAAUUAGAGUUUAUUAGAUGGAUUUUAACACAUAUAAUCUCUUAGAGGAGGACCUAUAGCAAAUUGCCCCUUUUUUUUUAAUGGAGAGAGGUCCAAAAUAUUUCAGUCCAUUUGAGAAAAGUCCACACCCAUUUUGAGCCAUUAUGUUUUCCAGCUUUGCCCUCGCCCGCCACAUCAUCACUGGGUCACGCGCUCAUCGAUUUUUUUUUCCUGUUUUUUUCCCGUCUUUUCUGUAUCAGUUUCCUUAAUCGACUAUGAAGCAUAGUCGAUUAAGGCACUAUGAAGCAUAGUCGAUUAGCCUUAAUCGACUAUGCUUCAUAGUCGAUUAAGGAAAUUCUUUAAUUUAAAAAAAAAAUUGUUUUUUAAUUUUUUUUCUACAUGAGGUAUAUCAAUCGCCUAUGAUGAAGCAUAGUCGAUUAAGAAUCUGUUACUAAACAUAACAAAUUACAACUGCGAAAAAAUGCAAAAACAACUAUAUUUUACAAAAAAUAAAAAAUAUUCAAACAUUAUAAAUGAUUUAUACAAUUGAAAUCAAUAAAUGAGAAAUCCAAAAAAAAAAAAAAAAAAAAAAAAACUGGAGUCGAUCAACCUUAGUCGACUACCAGAACAUAGUCGAUUAGCUUAAUCGACUUUGAAUAUGCACAUAGUCGAUUAAGGUUUCAGCCUGCGCGAAAUUCUCUACACGCACCGUCCUCCGUCCGAUCCACAAAAAAAACCCAAAAUCAGCCUCCCCAUCGUCCCCACACCAUCCAGAGCUCCUGCUAUGGCCGAACCCGUCAGAUUUUGAGCAUGUUUAGCUCCAAUUAAGAAAACUAAUUUAAUUUAAUUUAAUUUAAUCCCAAUCCUAAUUUAAUUUAAUCCCAAAAGCAACAUGCAUGAUUCCUCUUUCCCGCAGCUCCGGCACAUCCUGCUGCUCGCCGCCGCCGCAAUGCAUCCGUCUCCGGCGAUGUUUGUGCCGUCCGAUGCAGCGCUCUCCGCCAAUGCUAGCCCGCGCCGGUCGAUUUCGUCGAAGUUGCUGCCGCAGCACGACUCCGCGGUGUCGCAAACCAAAUCCGCCUCGCCGGCGCGGUUGUUCUGCCGCCGCUGCUUCUGCUGUUGCUCGUCGUGGAAUUGGGAGAGGAUUUGCUCGUCUAAGGAAGCCAUGCUACGUCUCAUCACCUUAAACAUCUCGGAUUGUCCGAUGUUAGAUAUAAAAGGUGGAGAUAGCGAUUAUGGUUCUGAGUGGCCCCAGAUAUCCCAUAUCCCCAGAGUCUAUGUGGAUGGGAAUCAAAUUCCAACUCAUGCUCAGUAAAUGUAACUAUACUUAUUACUGUUUUAUUUGAUUUACCAGAUUAUAUUCUUUUUUUUUCCUUUUCUUUUUCUAUUGUAUUUAUUUUUCUUUUUGUUCCUGCAGCAUCAAAAUUUAAUUUGUUGCUUAAAUAGAAUAGGAUGCUCAAGGCACACAAAUAUAUAAAUCUAUUUCAAAUUUAUUUCGAUACAUAUUGAUUUUAUUUUUAUUUCAUAGAUUUAAUUAGACACCCCUCCCGCAAAGUUUUAAUUUAGGAUUCGGUGCCAAACCAACAUAAUAUUUCUUCUUCUUCUUUCUUGGAUUUACCACAUUUUAUUUGGUUUACAUAUUCAUUGAUCUUCUUUUUUACUAUUUUCUUUAUAAAUGUGGUCAUUUUGUUAUUUCUCAUUUUUUUGAUGAGUUAUUAAUCGAAAUUGAGCAUUUUUGUUGCAUAUUGCCCCUUCAAAUAUUAUUUUUGUUGCACGUUGCCGAAACCGAAACUCGUAGCCAUUUUAAUAUUGAUUUAGCUUUCCGCAUUAAGCAAAGAAUCCUAUCUAACACGACGUAAGUCUAAUUCAACUCAAUAUCUAUCAUAAUAAGUUUGAAUUUGAUAAAGGAACCUAUCCACUUUCUCUUUCGAUCAGCUCAAUUUGAAAAGCGAUCGAGAAAAUAGCUUGUUACAUCCAUAAUACGGGAAAGAUUCGAUCCCAAAGUGAAAACGCUUACAGGAUAACAAACAGCGAAAUAUGGAGUUUGUAGAAUAAUCCAUAACAUGGAAUUAUUAAUAAAAAUUGGAGUUAUGCACAUAACUCCUGUGUAAUCUCGAAUUGCUAAAAAACCCAUUGUGUUCAAAAAAAUUAGCAAUAAUCCCCCUAUGUUAUAUUUUACGAAGCACACUGCCUCUUUUUUCGUUUUUUCCCAUUCACUUAGAUGAAAUGACAAAAUUACUUUGAAUUCAAAAUAAAACAAAAUAAAAAUAUUCAACCCAAAAAAUAAAAUAUUGAAUCCCUCAAAAAAAAUUUGAAAACAAAAUCCCAAAAGAAAAAAAAAAGGAAAAGAAAAAAGAGACGAUGCAUUUGCUUCAUCUUCCCCGUCAAACCAACACACCACCCACUCCCUCCCCAACCCCAACCCCAAACCCCAACCCCAAACCCGAACUCAAACAACUUUCUAUCAAAUUCCUCAAAUGGUGCAUCCACCGCCGCACACGUCGGAGAGCUACCGUCUACCAGCAAUUUAAAAGGUCCGCGGUGGCGAUGGUGGUGGAUAUGGACGUCGUGUGUGAGGUGGUUAUGGCGGCGGACGUGUUGGAGGUGGGUACGAUGUUGACCGUGACUCUCUUCCUAUGACGUUUUCCAGUGAGGAAGACACCGGAGAUGGUGUGAAGAUGGUUGCCGGCUAGAGUGACGUUUGUGGUUUGAUUUGGGAAGAUGACCUUUUUGGAAAUGGGAAGGAAUGAAUUGCAAAUUUUGAAAACUUCAUUUUGGGACAUAUAGAAUUUUGGGGUGAAUUUGUAAUUUUUAAAAUUUAUAAUUUAAAGCGUAUUUUGGUCUUUUUGGGUCAAAAAUACACUCUGAAUCGCACAAUCCGCGCGUGCGGCACAAGAUAAGCUGUUAGGGACCUUAUUGCCUUUGAUUAAUUUUUAUAGGGGGAUUCUUGCCAAAAAAAAUUAACACGAGUGCUUUUUCAGCAAUUCGAGAUUACAUAGGGGUGGGUUUUGCAAAAAACCCAUAAAAAUUGUAUCAGAUGUUAAAAUACAUUAUACAUGCAUACAUGCAGAUUUAAGGUUGAGAUUCACAACUAACAACAACUCUAAGAAGAAAUUUUCUAUGAAUGGUAAGUCCAUCUUAUUUGAUUUACAUAUUCGUUGAUCCUCUUUUUUACUAUUUUCUUUAAAAAUGUGGUCAUUUUGUAAUUUAUCAAACCAACAGAAGCAGGGAGAGAGCGCAAGUUUUUGUAAAGGAGAGACAGACCAGAUUAAAAAUGUGAGUAUAUAUACUUAUUUCUUCUUCUUCUUCUUUCUUGGAUUUACCACAUUUUAUUUGAUUUACAUAUUCAUUGAUCCUCUUUUUUACUAUUUUCUUUAAAAAUGUGGUCAUUUUGUUAUUUAUCAAUUUUUCUUAAACUUGAUGUGUACGAGUAUAUAUGUAAUGUCACCUUAUUAAUUUCAGAACAGAUUAUGCAUGUCAAACUAUGUAUAUAUAUAUAUAUCGGGUUUUUUGCAAGGACCACCUUUCUGUAAUUUCGAAUUGUUGAAAAACCCCCCGUAUUAAAAAAAUUAGCAGGAACCCCCUGAUGAAAAUUAGUCAAAGGCAAAAAAGCCCCUGACAGCAUGUCGUGUGUUGUACGCGCGGCUUGUGCAACUGAGGGUGUAUUUUUUGAUGUGAAAAGUCAAAAAUACCCUCUUAAAUUCUUUUAUAAAUAACAUAAAUCCAAUUGGGUUUAAAUGCAAAUAAUACAAACUUUUGGAUCGAAUUAUAAUUUAAAAAAAAAAUUAAGCAAACAAAAAUAAUAUAUUUUUUUAAGAAAAAGGAAAAAAAAAAAAAAAAAAAGAUCUCACUCGUCUUCUUCCCCAAAUUUCCUCCUCCCAGUGCCGGCCCUGAGGCCAUGCUGCACAAGCAAUGGCUUUGGGCCCCACUCCAUUAAGGGGCCCCCAAAUAAAAAAAAAAAAAAGUAUAUAUACAUAUAUAAAUAGUUUUGUGUUUUUAGUAAUUUAAAAUGAACUUUUUAUAAAUCAUAACAUUUAAUUUGAUUUUAGGGUAUAUUUUCAAUCCGACUCAAAUUAAUUGCACAUUUUCUGUUAAGCAUUGGGAAUGAAAAACACAAAAAGAUUAAAUUAAAUAUUUUACUAUCCAUCAUUAAAGGAAAAAAAAAGAGAGAAAUAAUUCGUCUUUUUUGUCAUAACUUAUGGUGCAACUCAAAUAAGUUUAUAAAAAAUAAUAAUAAUAAAUAUAUAAAUAAAUUUCAAUGAUAUUUAAUGUAGGUUUAUGCAUUCUUAUCCUCAUUCACUUAUGUCAUAAUAUAUUUAUUUUUGUUUGUUUUAUCAAGUUAAAUAAGUAUUAAUUAUAAAAUAAUUAUUUUUAAAAAAUACGCUUAGGGCCCCGAAAAUGUCAGGACCGGCCCUGCCUCCUCCUACAGCUGCCCCUUUCCUCCCGCCACCAGCCUCGUCCAAUCUUCUCAUCGAUGACACCCUUCGUAGCAGACGCUAUUCCCUCUUCGGCGCCCUCCGCCGUUCAUCGGUAUUGGAGUUUUUCAGCACAUGCAUCCGACUACGGGGAGUUAUUGCGGCGAGAGAUAAGGGUGGAGGCCUGUUUAAAGUUAGAUUCUAUGGGGACUAACAUUUUCCGCCCAAAUCGAUGUUCGGCGAUUUCUAAAAGCGGGGUCUGGUUCGAUGUAGAUUCGACGCGGGAAAUCAUUUUUCGGACAAAUUGAACAGUAACACUUCGAUUCUGGCGAGUUGUGAGGAAUGAUUACUGAAAAAUUAUAAAAAUCUAAGGAGAUGAAUUAUUUGGGGAGGAUUUGAGUGAAGAAUUAUUCAAAAAAAGGGAAAAAGAACAAUAACUCGUUCUUUUCUCACACUGUUUUUUUUUUUUUGUAAAGCUUUUCUUUUAAUAAGAUUUUCCUGUGUGUUGGAGAAGAUGGUUUUGGAUUUUGUUCGAAUUUCUUUUGUGUCUUUUUUUUUCUUUUCUUUUACAAUUCCAUGAUUCUUUUGUAAGGGCAAAUUAGUCAUUGUAUAAAAGUCAACAGCUAAUUUUAACGAAAGGAGCAGUGUGCUUCGUAUAAGACAACAUAGGGGGGUUUGUGCUAAUUUUUUUAACAUAGGGGUUUUUUUAGCCAUUCAAGAUUACACAGGGGGUUAUAUGCAAUUAGCUCUAUAUAUAUAUAUAUAUCAGAUGAUUAGUUUUUUUGUAAGAUUUUUUUUUUUUUUUUUGUUAUCAAAUCUCACAAUUUGUGAAUUAACGUCAAUAGGUCGCUGAAGACAUACAACACGAAUAAGGUCGAAAGCCAUCUAUUUGUUGAAGACAUACUUUUACUGCACAUUGCCCCGAUAGCCAAAUAUGGUUAUUAACCGAAAUUGAGCAUUUUUGUUGCAUAUUGCCCCUUCAAAUAUUAUUUUUGUUGCACGUGGCCGAAAUCGAAACUCGUAGCCAUUCUUAUAUUGAUUUAGUUUUUCGCAUUAAGCAAAGAAUCAUAUCUAACACGACGUAAGUCUAAUUCAACUCAAUAUCUAUCAUAAUAAAUUUGAAUUUGAUAAAGGAACCAAUCAACUUUCUCUUUCGAUCAGCUCAAUUUGAAAAGCGAGAAAAUAGCUUGUUACAUCCAUAAUACGGGAAAGAUUCGAUCGCAAAGUGAAAACGGUUACAAGAUAACAAACAGCGGAAUAUGGAGUUUGUAGAAUAAUCCAUAACAUUGAAUUAUUAAUAAAAAUUGGAGUUAACUGCACAUAACUCCUGUGUAAUCUCGAAUUGCUAAAAAACCCAUUGUGUUCAAAAAAAUUAGCAAGAAUCCCCCUUUGUUACAUUUUACGAAGCACACUGCCUCUUUUCUCGUUUUUUCCCCUUCACUUAGAUGAAAUGACAAAAUUACUCUGAAUUCAAAAUAAAACAAAAAUAUUCAACCCAAAAUAAAAUAUUGAAUCCCUCAAGAAAAAUUGAAAACAAAAUCCGAAGAAAAAAAAAGACGAUGCAGUUGCUUCAUCUUCCCCGUCGCACCAACACACAGUGUAUGUUUUUGUAAACGUGGGGACUAAAUGUGAAAUCAUUGCAAACUUGAGGGGCGAAAACUGUAUUUUUCCCAAAAAGUUAUAAUAACCUUUUGUUCAGGCAGUUAGAACCGGUGCAUAUUGUCAACUGUCAAGUGCCAAUCAGAAUCUUACGAUGACUUCAUGCCAACUAGCAACACAGUUGGCUUCUGCAUUAUUUUAAUCAUGAUUAAUAAAAAGAAAGUAUAGCAAUAAUGGAAUUACUAACCGUAUAUGGUUAGUCAAGUUACCAUGGUUUGGAAACAAGGGAAGGAUCGAAAAAAGUAUUGGAGAUAUUAAUAUUAAAUGAUACAUUUCACUAACAGCUUAAGCUUUCGGUUGAGAUGGUCAUUCAACAUGGUAUUAGAGUCAGGCCAAAUGAAAGGUCCUGAGUUCGAAUCCCACAUCCACCCGUAUACAAAUAUUUCAAGUGUAAGGCUUCAAAUGUAAUUUGCCUGCACUUGAGGGGGCGUAUUGGAGAUAUUAAUAUUAAUAUCGCCAAUAAAAAGAAUCAAAGAAGCCUUCACAGUUUCUUGAACGAUGCGGAGAAGAAGCAAGUCACCGAUGAAACUGUCAUCAUUGUUGGUGACAACGCUUCCUAUUCACCAGCUAAGUAACUUUUCCUUUUCAAUCUAUCGAAAAGAAUUGGCUCUCGGAUUUUGGAGAUGAAAAUUUAGUUUCAAUCUAUCAGAGUAAACAAGCCUUGGAUUUUAUUCUCCCCCUAUGUGAUUAUUAUUCCCCCAAUUCCUUCAAUUAUGCAAGUAAUUAACCCGGAUUAUUAACCUGAGAUGCUAAAUUAAUCAUAACCCGCUUCCGCGUGUAUUACGAUUCUAAUACUCUAGAUUCAAUUACUGUAUUUCUAUGCAAUUAAUUCUAGAACACAACAUUAAGCACAAAUCUCAAUAAUGGCUACCUAAGAGAUUAAUUAUAUUCUUAUGUUAAUACCACAAAGGCUCUUCUACCACAGUUCUAAUUAUUAACCCGAUCUUCCGAUUCAUGCGAUUAACAAUAACAUAAAAGCACAUAAGGUGAUCAAGUUCAUGCACUUAAUAAAACAAGUAGAAGAAAUAAUCCGGAAUUAAAACUUGCAUAAAAUCAUAGAAAAUGGUUCAUAAAUCCCACAUAGGGUUCAAAAUAAAAUCCUAGAAAUAAGAAAAUGAGCUACUCAUGAUUAAAGAAAAAACGCAAAUAAAAUAAAUCAUAAACGAUAAAUCUUCGCUUGGAGUCUUUGAAUUCUUCGUCUUCGUUAUUGCUUUGUUGCUCUUGAAAUUGCGUAAAAAAAGAUCCCCAUUUGUGUGCUUGGCUUGGUCUUAUAUAGGGUGAAGAACUUGGGAAAGAAGGCAGUUUCCUUGUGCAAUUAAAAUCCCUUUAUUGCGCUGCCUCGGGGUCUCGGACGGCCGUCCCACAAUUUGAACUAAAACUCGGACAGCCGUCCGAGAUUUAAAUCUUCAGAAUUUUGAUUUUUUCACUUUUGGCCCAUAUUUUCUCCAAAAUUGCAGCUUUGACCCCAUACUUUUCCAAUUCUUCAAUUUGUACCUAAAAUACAAUAAAUCAACUUUUUAAGCACCAAUUAUCGUUAAAACACACCAAAAGCUCAAAUAAAAAGGUACAAUAAAGUGUAAAAAUAUACACUUAACACACCCCCAAACUUGAACUUUUGUUUGUCCUCAAGCAAAAUCUACCAAUAAGCAAAUAACUCAACUAUUACAUCUCAUCACAUAGAUCAAUGAUCAACUUCACGUUUUCAGAACUUGUAAUUAUAAUGACAAUUCUUAGGCAUUCGCAGCUCAAAAUUCAACAGCACUUAGUCACUCACCAUUACCAAAAACCACAAUUUAUACAAUUGCUUCAAGCAUCCAAUAUUUGCAAAGUAAAGAUAGAAAGAAUUUAUACUUACAUGCAUAUAUUUGACUCCAAAUACUCACCAAAGUAUUUUACUCUACUAAUAUCGAACAUUAAGCUAUUGGGAUCAUUGAGGCUUUUUGGCUUUUAAUUGUUAGGCUCUUUGGUUCGAGGUAGGAAAUAUGGGUAUAUGUGGCUAUUAUUUUUGAAUUGAGGUGAUUACGCCAAAAUUUGAAAGAUAGGCGUCUGAAACAAUGAAUUCAUCUCUAAGGACUUUAAUAAACUCGAUUCUCAAAAGUUCAAAAGUCUCCACUUUUGCUUUUGAGGCAAUGGAUCGAGCUUUCAAAAAUAAUUUCAACAACUAGUCCUUUUUUCUCCCUUCUAGUCUCUUCUUCUUCUCUUUUUCUUUUUCUUUUUCUUUUUCUUUUUCAUUUUUUUAAUAUAUAUAUAUAUAUAGAAGAAUAUAUAUUUAUCUCUUUUCGUUUUUUUUUUCUUUUUUUUUUGUUUUCGAAGAAGAAGAAGAAGGACCUUAUAAAAUUUUUCGACCGAACUCCAAGGGGUAAUUUUUCAAGAAUCUCCACCUAUUCUACCUUACACAUUGGCUAAAAGAAAGAACAUCUUUUCUCCGAGGCUCAAAUCAAGGUUCUAAGGAUAAUUUCGAUAAAAAGGUCGGCUUGAAAGGCUCAAACGGUUCAAAGAAGGCCUGAAUCAUAUCCUAAAUCACUCACUACUCAAUACUUCGUAUCAUAAAUUUCCUAAGGUGAGUCUUAAAACCGAACAUAGCAUGAUCUAGCACAAAUUAAUUCCAAAUUUAAAAUACAAAACAUUCAACCAAAGCAAUGCACAAAGUGUGAUUCCUAACAAUUGUAACACCCCAUCUUUCCAAAACCCGAAAAUCCUAAAACCCGAGACUAAUAUUUCUAACUCGAGAACCCUUAGGUAAUAUUAUUACAUGAUAUUAAUUAUAUGCAUUACGUGAAUUUAAUUAUGUGACUUACGUGAAUAAUUACGUGCGUUAUUAUGUGGUGAUUUCAUGGUACUUAUUUUGUGAAAUUCGUAAGUAGAUAUAUAUGCGUGAAUUAUGUGAUCGUUUCCGAAAAUUUAAACUCUAGGAAUUUCGUGAAUUACGUGACUUAUGUGAAUUAUAAAUAUAGUACUAUGGUAUGAUUAUAUAUAUACAUACGUACAUACAUCCAUGCAUAUAGAUAUACACAUAUACAUACUAUUACAUGCAUUAUAUAUAUUUGAGUAUAUAUAUAUAUAAAUGACCGAAUAUGUGUGUGUGUGUAGUAUGCAAGUUGUGUUUAUUUUUAAAUAAAAUAAUUAGUAAUAAGCAUGCAUGCCUUUACACUUGGCACCCCCUAAUCAUUUCUCUAAACCCACACUCAAAGUAACCCAAAAGACACCCUUCAUCUUUCUUCUUCCAACACCUCAACCCCUUACUUGUCUUCUCCAUUUUUCUCCACCGUAGCAACAUCACCACCUCCAUUCUUCUCCUUCUUCCACCUCAUCUCUUGUUUUUCAAAGAAAAUGAAAAAUCACUUGAAAAUUCCCCUAUUUAACCACGGCCAUGGAGCAGCCUAGAUCACCACUCAUCAAACAAAUAUACAUCUCAUUUGAAAACCCACUCAAUCUUUUCCACAAUCAUAGUAGCUUGGUUGGAUUUCGGUGCUUGAUAGCCUCUCUUCCUUCGAUUGCUUUCUUUUCUUCGAUUUUAAGGUAAGAAAUUCCGAUUUCUUGCUGCAAUUAAAUGGCAUCAAUAGUAUUAAAAUGGUUUUCAAAAUUUUCUAAAAGAUUGGGAGUGAUUUCGAAAAUUUAGGGCUUUUGGGGGAAAAAUGGAAAAGAAGUGUUUCUUGUUAAAUUCUUGUUCUUGCAUGCAUCAUCUAUGUUGGUAGUGGGUAAAUACGAAUUUUAUUGGCCAAAAGCAUUAAAUAUUUCAGAUUUCAAAAAGGGGUUUUCAAGAAAAAUGAGAUUUUAACUUUUAUAGGGUUGCAUGUGUAGAUCUUCAAAAGUUUUGGGCCGAAUCUGUAAUUUUUAAGAAGUCAGUCCUAAAUGUGUUUUCAAAACUGUUUUCCAGCAUUUAUUGAACAAAAUUUUCGGAUUUAAGGAAGUGUUGCAAGAAAAAGUGAAUUUUCAACCUCUAGUGGUCUUGCAUGUGUAGAUCUAAGGAUUUUUGGGGUAAAAUAUGUAAUUUUAGGAAUUUCUGCAUAAAGUAACUUUUCAACUUCAUUUUCUGCAUCUAAUAAAGUAAAAUUUCAGAUUUGUUAGGGGUUUUCAUGAAAAAGUGGAUUUUGAACUUUUAGUGUGGUUGCAUGUGUAAAUCUUGAAACUUUUGGGUCAAAACUGCAAUUUCCGAAAAAUCUCUCAUUUCUAAAGUUUGAACCUGUUUUCCCAGCAAGUAUUAAGUGGGGAAAAGUUUUCUUUACAAAGGUUUUAAAGUAAUUAAGGUUAUAUUAGAGUUUUGAUUUUUAAAAUAAAAAGGGAAUUUUCUAGUUUUAAAUUUCAAGAAAAAAAAAAUUUACUCAAAAAAAAAAAAAAUUCAAGAAAAUUCGAAACUUUGUGAAAAUUUAAAAUAAUUCCGGAAUCUGAAAUUUGGAGUAGAUAGGAGUUCUAGGAUUUAAUUUGGGAAUUUUUGGAAUUAGUUUGCUAUUAUUUCGAAAUUAGGAUAGUUUGCAUGUCAUUUAUUAUGUUUUGUGCCUUUAUUUUCAUGUCUUUAAUUUAAUGUCUAUGAAUGAUGAGAUUUGGGGAUUUUAUACUUUUAAUUGCUGCUGGAUGUGGAUUACUUGUUGUGAGAAUUUAUUGAAAUGGAUUAUUACCUAGAAGUGGUAAUAAGUUCAUUAAAUGAAAGGUGAAAAAGGGGUGCUUGCUUUACAAGCAUGGUUUGAUAUUAAAUGGUGAUGUUUAAUGUGUUGGCUGCAUGUGUGUGUGCUGAAUGUGCAUGUGUUGUGUGCCGUGUGUGGUUGUGUGUUAUGUGUGUGAAUUUGGGGAUUUUUGCCCAAAUUAUAAAUAUGUGGUAAAUUGUGAUAUUUGUGUGAUUUUGUGGCACUUGAUUGAUAUUUGUGAUGUUAUGUGUGGGUCAUAAGCAUGAUUUCGAAAAGUUGCAUUUAAAGGUUUUUAAAUUGAAAGAUUAAUGGAAUACCUGGUAAUAAACAACUCGGAUAUAGAGGGCCGGUAUCCAACUAGGAUGAUGUGUGUUGUGGUUUGAUCCCACUUACUGAAAACGGGCUCGUAACAGGUUUAUUAUCCAGGUACAUAAAUUAAUCUUUCACGGAUCCGAUAAAACGAAAAAUGUGUUUUUUUCAUGAUUUUUACAAAAAGGGCAUUUUAGUCAUUUUGCAUAAGUACGUGAUUUUGUGUGAAUGAUGUGUUUCGUGAGUUGUGUGAUUUUGCCGAUUGUCUUGUGUUAUUGUACGGAACGUGGGUAAGAAUGGGUAUAUAAUAUUAUAUAUUAUGUAUAACGUAUUUUUCAAAGUUCGAUAUUCAUCGGAUUUCUUACUGAGUUUUAUAGCUCAUAUAGAUGUCCUUUAAUUGCAGGUAGUAGCACUAGUAGUCCAACCGGGAUGGGUCGAGUAGCGGAUCGAGGUCUUACCCGGGUUUUGUUGGAAGUCGUACGAGGACCUAUGAACGAUGCUAAAGUCUUUUGGUUAUUUUCUUUUGGUGGUGUAAUGUUAAACCUAAAUACUUUCUUUUCGUACCUUUUAAACUCGUUAUCUAUAUAGAUCGUACUUAAUAUAGUAGAUUCCGUAAUUUGCUAUUUUCAUGCCUCCAUUAGUGAUUUCCGAAUUAUUCACCAAAAUAACCUUUUUAACUCUGAUUUCUUCUCGAACCAAAACCGAUAGUAACACUGUAGCACUCGAACGAAAAACCUCCCCUCGAAACUUGUUUCCAAAUAAAACCUUUAUUCGGCUAUAGUAACCUAAAGAAAAGUUUUUCGAAAAAUGCAAAGUUUUAAUAAUUGCAUUUUUGUCCCACUUCAAAGUUUUAAAAAUUACAAAGUUAUCCUUUGCUUCCGCUAGUUUAAUGAAUAUUCCGAUAAACCGGUUCGAUUUAUCGCCCAUCUAGAAGGGGGGUGCUACAACAAUCAUUCGCUUCUAAGUUUCGUUGAAUCAAAAGCUAAACAAACAUGUAAUCCUUAUCACACAAAACAAGCAAUCUCAUCAUCAAACAUUGAUCAUCUCUCAUCAUCAUAAAUCAUCAAUGCAUUCGACUCAAGCAAUUCUUUUUUGUUUAAAGAAAACAAUAAAUUAACGAAAACGACUAAAACUAAAAAGAAAAAUCCUAAAGCAUGCAAUCUAUAACAUAUAAAGCACAUAAAAAGUGUUUUUCCAGCGCCAAACUUAAAAUUUACAUUGUCCUCAAUGUAAUUCAAACAAAGUUUAAGGAUAGAAUACACCUUGAUUAGUUCAAACGUCCUCCACGUGUUGCACCCCUCCAUCUCUUCCUCUUUGAAGCAAACACCUUUUUUUUUUUUUUUUUUUCAGGGGUGUUCCGGACGGCCGUCCCACCUUUUGGACUGUUUUUGGGAGGCCGUCCCACAAACAGUAGGUUCACAACUCGUCCUAACUUCCCCGGACGGCCGUCUGGGGUUUUGGCUUGAUUUUCGGACGGCCGUCUGGGCUUUUUGUGUCCGUUUUUCGACCUAAAAAUUCAAACAUGAUUAAAUUAUUAGAUUGCACGCUUAUAUAUAUUCUAAGAAAAUAAAAAACAACUAAAAAUAUGAAAAAUAUGAGAGAAAAAAAAACGAUAAAUGCUCGGGUUGCCUCCCGAGAAGCGCUAAAUUUAAGUCUUCAGCCAGACUUUGCUUCUUGAAAUUGGUAUGUCCAAUCCAAAGCCUUGUAGAUUGCGCAUUCAUCCAUGACCUUUGUCACUUCAAUUGCAACCGAUACAAGGAUAGGAUUGCAAUAUGUCAGGGUCCACUUUAGCUUGUAAUCUUUCUUGGUUGUAAUCAAUCGGUACGAAGCCAAGAUGGGAUCUUCAUCACCCGCUCCCUCAAAUUGGUACACAAAAACCUCAAGUCUGCGUAUAACCUCCACUUCAAACACAUUCGCCUUCUUAUCAACCUCAAUUGAUGCCUUCAAAGCCACAUCAGGAACAAUGAUAAGAUCCUCAAUUUGAAUAUUUUCACUAACCACAUCCAUCUCAUUUUUCUCUUGUUCCGAGACAUCUUUGGAGUUUAGCUCGAUUGCAUUGUCAGAUUCAUCAUCCUUAAGCGUCUUCGUACUUUCUUUUCCCCUCUCAUCGACACUAUUUUCUAGGUCUAAAGGAUUUUCCUCACUACAAGUUUCUGACAGAUUUUCUUUGUUGCAACCAUUCUCGAUAUUGUCUGAAAUAUUUUCAAGAGACCUCUUGAGCUUCAUCUCUUCCAACAUUAUUUCCAGUCUUUGGAUAGAUGCUUGAGUGGAUUUCAUAAAUUCUUCAAGGACGGAGUUCAAAUAACACUCCUGAACAGUGGGUUCUCGUGGCGUGUUGGUGUAUGUGUUCCAAUAACCGCCGUUGGUGUUAUCUAUGAAAUUAUUCGCUUUCGGUGCAUACCAACAUUGGUUAGUGUAAUGAUCUCCACCACAGAUUGAACAAAGUGACGGCAUAUCAUAGGUAUUUUGGAGGUAUUCGCCAGACGGAAGCUAUUCAUAUCCCGUUUGAGGUGCGCAAAAAUUGUAACUUGACAUGUAACCAAAGAAAAAAAAAUAUAUUAAAGAAAAUUAAAACGAAAAGCUAAAAUGAAAAAAAAAUUAAUUUGGGUGAAUCGUGAAAAUUGUUCAAAUUUAGAGCUAGAAUAAAAAUAAAUAAUUAAUAUAUUCCCCGGCAACGGCGCCAAAAACUUGUUGGCCGAAAACCUACACGCAAGUGCACGUAUCGUACAAGUAAUAUAGUGGACUAAAGUCCGAAUAUCGAACCCACAUGGAAUUUUUAAUUACUAAUCAUAGACGCUAAAUUUUAGCAAUUAUUAUCAAGCCCACCCGACUAGAGAGAGAAUUAACUAAAUUAAACUAAACUAAACUAAAGCAAAUUAAAACGACAAAGCGAGAAAGCAAAUUAAACACGAAGAUCUAUCAGAGUAAAUAAGCCUAGGAUUUUAUUCUUCCCCCUAUGUGAUUAUUAUUCCCCCAAUUCCUUCAAUUAUGCAAGUAAUUAACCUGGAUUAUUAACCUGAGAUGCUAAAUUAAUCAUAACCCACUUCUGUGUGUAUUACGAUUCUAAUACUCUAGAUUCAAUUACUGUAUUCCUACGCAAUUAAUUCUAGAACACAACCUUAAGCACAAAUCUCAAUAAUGGCUACCUAAGAGAUUAGCUAUAUUCCUAUGUUAAUACCACAAAUGCUCUUCUACCACAGUUCUAAUUAUUAACCCGAUCUUCCGAUUCAUGCGAUUAACAAUAACAUAAAAGCACAUAAGGUGAUCAAGUUCAUGCACUUAAUAAAACAAGUAGAAGAAAUAAUCCGGAAUUAAAACUUGCAUAAAAUCAUAGAAAAUGGUUCAUAAAUCCCACAUAGGGUUCAAAAUAAAAUCCUAGAAAUAAGAAAAUGAGCUACUCAUGAUUAAAGAAAAAACGCAAAUAAAAUAAAUCAUAAACCAUAAAUCUUCGCUUGGAGUCUUUGAAUUCUUCGUCUUCGUUAUUGCUUUGUUGCUCUUGAAAUUGCGUAAAAAAAGAUCCCCAAUUGUGUGCUUGGCUUGGUCUUAUAUAGGGUGAAGAACUUGGGAAAGAAGGCAGUUUCCUUGUGCAAUUAAAAUCCCUUUAUUGCGCUGCCUCGGGGUCUCGGACGGCCGUCCCACAAUUUGAACUAAAACUCGGACAGCCGUCCGAGAUUUAAAUCUUCAGAAUUUUGAUUUUUUCACUUUUGGCCCAUAUUUUCUCCAAAAUUGCAGUUUUGACCCCAUACUUUUCCAAUUCUUCAAUUUCUACCUAAAAUACAAUAAAUCAACUUUUUAAGCACCAAUUAUCGUUAAAACACACCAAAAGCUCAAAUAAAAAUGUAACACCCCACCUUUCCAAAACCUUAAAACCCGAAAUUAAUAUUCCUAACUCGAGAAUCCUUAGGUAAUAUUAUUACGUGAUAAUUUGUACAUGACUUACGUGAAUUUAAUUAUGUGAAUUAUUUAUGUGCUAUAUUUAAUUGGUAGAUUUAUUUGCUAGCAAUUUAUGUGAUUUAUGUGAAUUAGAAUAUUAUAUGCUAUAUUUGAUUAAUUAAGUGUGAUAAUACACUACUCUAGACUAUCCUAUAUAUACAAUAUAGGCAUUUACUUGAUAACAUACAUGUAUAUGCAUACAUGCAUACAUACAUAGAUUUUACAUACAUUGCUUGAUUAUAUAAUAUUAUAUUACAUAUGUAUAUGUAUAGCCGUGUGAGUGUGUAUGUUAGUCAAAAAGGUGACUAAUUAAAUUAUUAUUUAAUUACUUGCACAUGGCACAUAGUCGAGUUUUACACUCUUCCAUCUACUUCUUCUUCCACAUCACCCCCUUGCUUGUCUUCCUCUCUUCAUUCCACCGAAGACACACCACCACCUCCAUUCUUCAUCUUCUUCCACCUCACUUCCAAUUUUUAAAGAAAAUGAAAAAAAUCAUUUUAAAAGUCCUCUAUUUAAUGAUGGACUUGUAGCAGCCUAAAACACCAUCCUCCAAAGAAAUAUACAUCUCACUUAAAAUUCCACUCCAUCUCCUUCACCAUCAAAAUAAUUUGGCUAGAGCUUGGCACCAUCCUUUGAAGCAUUUUCCUUCACUUUUCUUUCGGUUAUUAAGGUAAGAAGUUUCGAUUUCUUGCUGCAAUUAAAUGGCAUCAAUAGUAUUAAAAUGGUUUUCAUAAAGUUUUAAAAGAUUGGGAAUGUUUUCGAAAAUUUAGGGCUUUUUGGGGAAAAAUGGAAAAUGGGUGUUUCUUGUUAAUUUCUUGUUCUUGCAUGCAUCAUCUAUGUUAAUAGUGGGUAGAUACAACUUUCAUUGGCCAAAAGCAUUAUAAAUUUCAGAUUUCAAAAAGGGGUUUUCAAGAAAAAUGAAAUUUGAACUUUUAUGGGGUUGCAUGUAUAGAUCUUCAAAAGUUUUGGGCCGAAUCUGUAAUUUUUGAGGAGUCAGUCCUAAAUGUGUUUUCAAAACUGUUUUUCAGCAUUUAUUAAACAAAAAUUUCGGAUUUAAGGAAGUUUGUAAGAAAAAGGUGGUUUUUUGAACUUUUGGUGGUAUUGCAUGUGUAGAUCUAGAGAUUUUGGGGUAAAAUAUGUAAUUUUCAGAACUUCUGCAUAAAGUGACUUUUCAACUUCGAUUUCUGCAUCUAAUAAAGUAAAAUUUCAGAUUGUUAGGGUUUUUUCAUGAAAAAGUGAAUUUUGAACUUUUAGUGUGGUUGCAUGUGUAAAUGUUGAAACUUUGGGGUCAAAACUGCAAUUUCUGAAAAAUCUCUAAUUUCUAAAGUUUGAAUCUGUUUUUCCAGCAAGUAUUAAAUGGGGAAAGGUUUUCUUUACAAAGGUUUUCAAAGUAAUUAAGGUUAUAUUAGAGGUUUCGAUUUUUAAAAGAAAAAGGGGAUUUUCUAGUUUUAAUUUCAAGAAAAUUCGAAACUUUGUGGAAAUUUAAAAUAAUUUCAGAAUCUGAAACUUGGGUCAGUUAGGAGUUCUAGGAUUUAAUUUGAGAAUUUUUGGAAUUAGUUUGCUAUUAUUUCGAAAUUAGGAUAGUUUGCACGUCAUUUAUCAUGUUUUUGUGCCUUUAUUUUCAUGUCUUUAAUUGAAUGUCUAUGAAUGAUGAGAUUUGGGUAUUUUAUACUUUUAAUUGCUGCCUGGAUGUGGAUUAAUUUCUGUGAGAUUUAUUGAAUGGCUUGUUACCUAGGUGUGGUAAUAAGUUUAUUAAAUGAAAGGUGAAAAGGGGUACUUGCUUUGCAAGCAUGGUUUGAAUGUUAAAUGGUGAGGUUUGAUGUGUGACUGCAUGUGUGUAUGCUGAGUAAGUGUGUGUGUAUGUGCUGAAUGUGUAUGUGUGUGUGCCGUGUGUGAAUUUGGGGAUUUUUGCCCCAAAUUAUAAAUAUGUGGUAAAUUGUGAUAUUUGUGUGAUGUUGUGGCACUUGAUUGACGUUUGUGAUGUUAUGUGUGGGUCAUAAGCAUGAUUUCGAAAAAUUGCAUUUCAUUAUUUUGAAAAUUGAAAGAUUAAUGGAAUGCUUAGUGAAUAAACGGGAUACGGUGGGCCGGUAUCCGAUUAAGAUGAAAUACAUGGUUUGAUUCCACAAUAGAACGGGCUCGAAACGCUUUAUAGUUUAUUGCUAGGCACAGAUGUUAGUGCUUAGUGAAUAAACGGGAUACGGUGGGCCGGUAUCCAACUAGGAUGAAAUACGUGGUUUUAUAAAACGGGCUCGAAACGCUUUAUAGUUUAUUGCUAGGUACAGAAAUUAAUCUUUCACGGAUCCGAUAAACGAAAAAUGAUUUUUACACGAUUUUCAUAAAACGUGCAUUUUAGUCAUUUUGCAUAAGUGUUUAUGUGUGAAUAUGUGUUUUCGUGAACCAUGUGGUUAACAGUUUGUGUUGUGUUGUUUGGAAUGUGAGUAUGGAUAACUAUAUAUAUUAUAUAUUAUAUAUAACGUAUUUUCAAAGUUUGAUAUUUCAUCGGAUUUCUUACUGAGCUUUAUAGCUCAUAUAGAUGCCUUUUAAUUGCAGGUAAUAGUGUUAGUAACCCUCCACCGGAAUGGAUCGAGUAGCGGAUCGAGGUCUUGCCCGGGAUUUUUGGAAGUUGUACGAGGACCUAUGAACGAUGCUAAAGAAUUUUGGUUUUUUGGUGAUAUAAUAGUAAAUUUAAGUAUUUCCCUUUUUGAUCUUUCGAACUCGAACCCGGUAUGGAUUGUACUUGACUUUUGUUACAAAGUAGUCCUUUUAAUAAAUUUGUUAUUAUCACGUCUCACUAGUGGUUUUCAAAAUAUUCACCAAAAUACCUUUUCAAAACUCUGAUUUCUUUUCGAACCAAAAUCGAUAGCUUGAUAGUGUAGCACUCGAACAAUAAUCCUCCUAAGAAAGUUUUUGAAAAUCACAAAAAGGUUUUUAAAUGUUCUAAAGAAGAGAUUUUUAAUAAUUUCAUUUUAGUCCCAUUCCAAAGUUUUAAAAAUUACAAAGAGAUCCUUUUGCUUCUGCUAGAAAAAUGAAUAUUCCGAUAAACUGGUUCGAUUUAUCGCCCGAUAAGAAGGGGGGUGCUACAAAAAAGGUACGAUAAAGUGUAAAAAUAUACACUUAACAACACUGAAAAAGUGUUUUGCAUACUGUUCGAUAUUUCCUAAGGGAUUUAACUUGGAAAGGGAAAAAUUCGUCGAACUUUGGAUGGCAGAGGGCUUUCUUGAAGGAACUGAUAUGGAGAUUGUGGGCAACAAUUUCCUUAAUAUUUUCUUACAAAACUCCUUGUUGUUAGAAGUUGUGGGGCGAAACGACUAUUAUGGCUAUAUAAUGUAUUAUAACAUGCACGAUCUUGUGCAUGAUCUAGCAUCGUCUAUUUUAAAUUCAAGCGAGCAAGUUCGGUACAUAGGCCUGCAAUCAUCUACUAGCGGUGAAUCGCGUGCUAUCCUAAAUGAACAAGCAAUUUCUCUUCGUUCACUAUUGUCCAAUGAUAAAAUAUGCGUUUGCAUGUUCUCGGAGUUCAAAUCGUUGCAUGUUUUAAUUCUAAUGGGCAAUUGCGUUGAAGAGUUGCCAAGUUCGAUCGGAGUGCUAAUACACUUGAGAUGUCUUGAUAUUUCAGGCAUAAGAAUUAAAUAUUUGCCGGAAUCUGUCACCGAACUUUAUCACUUGCAGACGUUAAGAGCAUGUCACGAUUUGAAGAAGCUACCGAAUACAUUGGAGCACUUAAUGAGCUUGAGACAUCUUCACGUUCCUCGAAUAGAACUGCAUCCGGGGAUGGGAAGAUUAAUUUCUCUUCGAACAAUACAGUACUUUGGAGUGAGCAAUGAAAACGGUUGUGGAAUUGACGAGCUCGGAAGCUUGAAAAAUCUCCAAGGGGAACUGCAGAUUUAUAAUCUCGAAAAGGUGUGUGGCAAAGAAAUGACUAAGAGAGCGGAUUUAUUACGAAAGCCAAACAUAGUGAAGUUAAAUCUUGAGUGGAGUAUUGAAAAUAGAAAAGGUGAAAACGGCGACGAGAGUGUGUUGGAAGGCCUCGAACCCCACCCGAAUCUAAAGGGCUUAUACAUUUGGGGAUUCGGAGGGAGACGUUUGCCACCAUGGUGUUCAACGAUGUCGGGACUUAAUAAUUUGACAAAGAUAACACUUGAAGAUUGCACGGAUUGCGAACAAGUUCCGACGCUAGGGCACUUGCCGAAUUUGAAGAAUCUUUAUCUGAUUAACCUGGAGAAUGUGAAAUCCAUAGGUUCGUCGUUCUACGGAAUCGACAAAUGCAGCACAUCCGGUACUACAAUUACCGCAUUCCCGGCACUCGAAAGGCUCGAGUUGGUAUAAAUGUGGGAGCUGACAGAGUGGUUUGAAGCAGAGCUGGUGCCAAAUACAACCGAGAAUCGACGGCCAUCUCAAAUGAUGAUGGUAUUUCCUCGCCUCGAUCGAGUAAUUGAAGAUCAACAGCUGCAGGCAAUUGACGAGUGCUCCGAGUCACUUCCAUGCCUUAAAGUCCAUGCCUUAAAGAAUUGCAGAUUUCUCACGUGGACAGUGGAGUACCUCUGGCAAGUAUAUGCAGGCGACUAGUCUCGCUUACGACACUCGAUAUUGAAGGAAUUGAGGGAUUGACGUGUCUCCCCCAUUGGUUGUUCCGUAACAAUCCAAAUCUCUCGCAGGUGUAUGUGGGCUCCCAACUUAACGCAUCUCUAAACAGAGAGCCGACGUGGGCGCCUCUUUAAUCGGAGAACAACGGAACUGUUUUGUGUGUUGUGUUUGCAGUCUUAGCUGAUGAAGCGCCACCCGAACCGAACAAAUGGCCUAACGAUACGGCCGGUGUUUGUGCCGAUGAAUUGAUGUUCGUUUUAUUGUCUUUAAUUUUUGCCUACUAAAUUUCUUGUUAUGUGUUUCGAAAAAGAUCCAACCUUCCUCUUCCAAAUCCCUAGAAUUCAAUCAGCAAAAGGCCAAAAAAUUAAGCGUGUGCGCGGGUCAUAAACUUGCGGGUUCCAGCAAAACCCACUCUCGUUACGUCAACCAACGGUUCUUGAUUUUAAGAACCAAACUUGUUGGUUUUCGACCGAUUCAUGAUAGACGGGGUCCAUGACGGGUUUAUAGUAGGACCCAAUCUUCCGAACCGGCCCAUGGCCAGGGCCGGCUCAACCACUAGGCC
This 63668-nucleotide long non-coding RNA is filed under the name Erythranthe guttata (spotted monkey flower). RNAcentral describes it as "long non-coding RNA (EGUT_LNC003895)". Lineage: Eukaryota; Viridiplantae; Streptophyta; Magnoliopsida; Lamiales; Phrymaceae. The record is from RNAcentral.